This 48632-nucleotide long non-coding RNA is filed under the name Setaria viridis. Its description in RNAcentral is "long non-coding RNA (SVIR_LNC002895)". Lineage: Eukaryota; Viridiplantae; Streptophyta; Magnoliopsida; Poales; Poaceae. The record is from RNAcentral.
CACACGUGGGAGUGGGCAGGGAGUUGAGCACCGUAUCGGUCGAAGUAUCACCGUACACGUACAGACCAACCUAGAUCCAGCUCAAAAAUGAACACAUAGAUUUUUUUUUCAGUUUUUACAAAAACUGUAAAUAAAACUUAGUGAACGGUAGCAAGAAUUCAGCUGAUCUUCAUGCGGGAAUCAGCUGAAAUCCCCCAGUAUAGAUCUCUAUCUCUAUUCGCUGCAAACUGCAAGUGCAGACAAAGACGGCGGUAGAUUAAUGGCAAUCCAUCCAAACGAAGCGCGCCGAGACAAACGAUUCCGAAACCGCACGAGCUGCCGCCGCAGGCUGCACAGGUGUGCUAUGCGCCGAGCUCCGGAGCCCGGAGCGGGGCAGCACCGAUUGCGGCAGCAACUGCUAGAGAUUAGUGCCGAGGCACGGGGGGCGGGAAGAGAAUCCGAAGCACCGUAAGCACCACGGACCACGGAUCGCCCACGCCACGGCAGCACCGCACCGCACGGUCCGCGCCUCGCGCUCGUUUGAAACGGGCGGCGCCAACGGAAGGGUGCGGGGGGAAGGGCGCUGCGGCCUCCCCUCUCGCACGUGAACGGGCGCUGCGUACGCCUGCGCGGGCGAUUACUGUGCGCCAGCUGCAGCACUGUGCGUCUGUGCGCGAGCAGCAGGCAGGGCCGCGGGUGGCGGCAGGACGGGGCUCAUUAUUCUCGCCGCGGCAGACGGCACGGCCGAUCGGGCGUCUGGCGUCAUGCACGCCGCGCACGUACCCCUUUACUCCUGGCGUUCAGGCGCCGAGUUAAUGAACAGUGAUGAGCGCAGUUGCUUUUCUUUAAAGAUUAACAGGAUCCAUCGUGCACCCACCACUGAAAACGUCUGCUGCUAUACUAUUUUACAUUUACAAUUUUGUGCUGGAGAAUUUCACUGGCCUGGCCAGGCCUGCUUUGAGUACCUGUGAAUUUUCAAUCUUGAUGAAAACUGUAAUUCGUAUCGUAUCCGCACAUGCUCAUCAAAAUUAUUUUUCCAGAAUUCAUCUCAUCCACCGACGUGCACCCCCUUCUUCACUUGUUGACAUCGGACCCCACGUCGUGAGCGGUGAACCUGACGUUCGUUCUCGCAACCCAUCCAGCGCAUAAUCGUGCGCAUCCGAGGGAGAAGGCAGAGACGAAAUAGCGGGUUAACGUUAACCGGGCAGACAUGGAUUGAUGCCGUUUCCGGCAGAUUGGUGAUGCUCCUUUUGACCCGCGGCGUACCAGUAAUGAUGGUACCUACGGUGGCGCGCGGCCGGAUCACUACAGUACGAAGAGAAACAGACAGAGCCCGCUCACACUUUCCUGCGAAGGAUCAAGCAUGUCUGCCCCCUCAUCUCAUCUCUCUCGGGCUGCUGGAAACUUUGUAACCGUCCACACGUCUGAGCGAGUGCUCUGGGCCGCUGACCUCUGCGCCGGCCGAUGGCCAGCGGUGCUCCCCGUCGCACGCGGCUUCCACCACGCUCUGUUUCGUCGAUAAUGCAUGCAGCUCUGAGCAGACGCAGGUUGAAAGCGUGCGUGAUGCGGGGACUACCGGAGAAGGAGCGAUUUUGAAUCCACGAUUCGCGACAAAAACCGCGAUCGGGCGCGUACGUGGUCGAUCUCUCACACGAGCACUUUCGUGACUCAUCCCGCGCCACAGCAGUGGUACCACCACAGACGCACACACGGGGGGCCGCGGCACCGCUCGGGCCGCGGCAGGCUCCGUUGGCUAGCUCUUGCAGCCGUGGCUCCGCGAGACGGCCGGCGCGAAUUGCUCUUCACACACUCCCCGCACGGGAAGCAGCAUAUUGCUAGCCUGAUCUAUCGGCCGGCCUGGAUUACGUGGUUGACCCUCUCAUGGCAGGGCGGGGGCAGGGCCGGUCCUGAGUUUUCUGAGGCUCAGGACGAAAAAAACCUGUGGCUCUUCUAAUAACAAUAUACCGGUAAACGCUCAAUGUGCAUGCCAAAAAAAAAAUCAUAUAAAGAAGUUUGUGUAUUACUUGAAAAUUUCUUGCAAUAUUCCUAGAUGUGAAGUCGUCGAUGGUCUUCUCGGUGCAUGAAGUUGGCAUACCUUUUACACGCUUUUACUAUGCUAAAAAUUAAAUUAAAAAAUAGUUGGUGACUAAAAGCUAGCUAGCACAAAGCUAGAAAGGUAUUAGAUCAACUUACAAAACAUACGGAUCUCUAUGUUGAACUUUCAAAUCUCAAUAUCAUCUAUCCCUCACCAAUGGCAUUAAUUAUCAAUGGCAUACUGCAACGAGCGUGCAAUAUUGAUAUAUUGUCAUUCACAAAUCGAACAUGAAAUAAAAGUCAAUCUAAUUACUUGAGCCGGUGAGGAUCAAGGACUGGUUCCUACCUUGCUUGCUUGCCUGUAGGCUGUGACCCUGCGCUUCUCCGCUGCAAUCGGCGACGGUGACUUGGUAAGACACCGACUUGAUCGAGGACGUAGCGUUAGAGGCACGGACGUACGCUGGACGCGCGAUCAUGAUAGUGGCAUGCGCGAAGCGCGAGUCUGCAAAUCGCGAUUGGCCGUCGGUACCGUGUGUACAUCUACUACUACCUACUGCAUACAUACCUGCCCGCGGGGCCUCUUGGUCUCGGGGGCCUAGGACGGCCGCCCCGCUCGCCCCCCCUCAGGGCCGGGCCUGGGCGGGGCCUCGUCUCACCGGCCAGAUCACGUGCAGCAGAGUCGGUCGGCGGUGGAGAACGCGACACUUCUUGAGCAGAGAUAGCUAGAGAGGCAAGGGGAAAAGGGGAUGGUGUCGAUGUCGUCGUAUAGGGAUGCCAAUAGCACCAUGGCAGCAAGCCAGCAAAAGUACGUACCAUUAGUGUUAGUACUAGUGUUAGUGUUAGAGGGGUACACCAUCCAUUAGUCCCGUAUUUCUAAUAGAUAAGGGUGUGGAAGUGUUCCUCCUUAUAAAUACGGACCACCCCUUAUGGAAAAAACGCGUUAUAGACUAUUUUACAGGAAGAUCCGGGUAUCAUUAAGUGGUCUAUAUGAGUUAAGUGUUGCCUCUUCUACACUGCUGCAUCAUCACUGUAGUCUUCUCCAUUCCGUUGCGUCGGCGUCAGCAACAAACAGGGCAGCAAGUCUCCGGAACCAGUCAUCCUUGUGAUCCUGCACCGGAAGAGGGCGAAUAAGAUUUUUAGGAAGCGCUCUGCGCGACUGCUCAAAUUCAUCGCCACGGCUCGUCCUCCGUCCAAUCUUCAUGUCGCAGAUUGUUGUCCCGUCAACACUGCUCGUCAUCACGGCUUCUCAGUACGUGCGUCGUGAUCUGAUCUGUUUUUUAAUCAUGUUUUCUGAGAUCAUAAUUAUGCUGUUCCUGUUGCCUAGUAUGUUAUAAUUUUGCAUGCUAGAAUUGUCUCUUGUCAUGAUUUAUUUAUUUCGAAAACUAAUACAACAAUUGCCUAAUAUCAACACAUGCAUGGGUUAGGCGGUCAUCAAUAGUAGUAAGGACUAGGAACUAAUUAAUGGCCGAAUCGCAGAGAGGACAGUGAUCGCCCCUGCAGCUUGUGCCGAGAACCAUUCAUGCAGGAUUGCAGGUGUGGCGCUUUUGAGGGUGAGGAUUAUGUUGUGUUAAAUCACGUUUGCUGAGUUUAUGUAACUACUCCUUUUGUUCCAAAUCGUAGAUCGUUUUAGUUUUUAAGAUGUAUAAUUUUUGCUAUGCAUCAAGAUAUGGUGUAUAUCUAGAUACAUCAUAAUAUCUAUGAAUUUACAUCAUAAUAUCUAUGAAUUUAGUUUAAACGUUCCGUUAAGGUGAUUUAACCGAACAUUCAAUAUGUCUAAUGAUUCAACAUCUAAUUCCUGCUUUGUGUGAAUUGUGAUCAAGCUUCAAGCCUGUCGAAUCCGUUCUUUUCGCACCCCUAAGCUUCUUCAAAAGACAUUGAGAUUCCUUCGCGCACACGAUCACACACGUACGUGCUGUGGUCCCACUGGUGGUGCGCAGCGUCACUGUCCUCUUGCCGCCAUGACCAUAUCAAACUCGGUAGGCACCCGAGCCCCGAGGCGCUACGAUGCCUUAUGUCUUUCAGGACUGUCACGUCGUCACGGCCAUGCUCAUAAACUCGUACUACCAGGGUAGCCACCUAUUCCAUCCGUCCGAUCUUAGGGAUGUUCGUUGAUAAGAGGUGCUAAAUUUUAGCCAGGUUAUAUUGAAUGUUCGGAUGCUAAUUAGAAGGACUAAAUAUGAGCUAAUACAAAACUAAUUGCACAUAUGGAGUCUAAUUCGCGAGACGAAUCUAUUAAGGCUAAUUAAUCCAUCAUUAGCAAAUGGUUAUUGUAGCACCACAUUGUCAAAUCAUGGACUAAUUAAGCUUAAUAGAUUCAUCUCACGAAUAGACUCUAUCUAUGCAAUUAGUUUAUAAUUAGACAAUGUUUAAUACUCCUAAUUAGUAUCAAAUAUCCGAUGUGACAGGUGCUAAAGUUUAGCAUGGUGUUCCCAAACACCCCUUUAGAAAGAACGCUAAAGAGUUAAAUAAUUUGAGGUUUGAUCGAAUUUAUAAAAAAAUACUAAUAUUCAUAUUUUUAAAUAGAUUUAGUAUAAAAAUAUAUUACAUGAUUAAUUUAUUAAUAUUUAUUUGCACUAUAAAUAUAAAUAUAGUACUAUUUUGUAUAUAAAUCUGGUUAAAGAGUUGUUUUCUUUUCAUGACUUCUCUAGGAGGGAGGGAGUACCUACCUACGAGCUCGAUGCACACAGCGCUACACUUGCCUUUAAUAGGCGUCUGUCUCAAAACUCUCUCCGGUACCCCUGUGAUGACUGAUCGCUACCCCAAACUCACACGGCGGUGGCGGCCGCGGUGCCCAUCAGUUAAGCUAGGUGCGUAGGCCAUCAGGUUGCUCUGCACAAGGCAGAAGCCGCUGCCUGCUUGGUGCAUGCAUUGCCUCGCCGCUCAGCGGGAUGAGAGAUGAAGUGACGGGCUCCUCUCCUCUGGACAAGGUUCUCCGUCGCACGGAGACAUACGGAAACCUAUGCGUGCACACGGCAACACAACAUGCAUCGAGAUGACACCGAUGAUGGAUGGGCGGAUGGACGCGUCGUCACAUCCAGUCCCUUCGCCAUCACGGACACCCGCGCGCGCCCGCCUCCGCCUCCGGCUUGCCCUAGCAUGGCGCAAAGCAUCCGUGUAGCGGGGGCACGACCGUCAUCUUCUCGACACUGCCGCCGAUUCGCCGAAGGCCCGAACCCACCGAGCGCGCACGUGAACCCAACUGCCCAUCGAUGGACGACGACGCCGAUCGACGGGCACCGGCCGGCAGCGCGCGCGGCUGGCUAGCAGAUCAUCACACGGCACGGUGCGGGCGGGGACGGGCCGAGUAGUAUUACUUCCGUGCCGCGUGCCGGGCCGCUGCAGGUGCGUGUCGGUGCGACCCCCGCGGCGCGUUCUUGUUGCGACGGGGUAGGAAGCACGUACGUCCUGGCUCGACCGACUCGUCAGCAAGGACGGCAGGACCGACCGCUAAGCGAUGACGACGGGAGCACGUCUGUGGUUCUACUUCGUUCGUCGUGUCGUGGCUUCUGCUCCGUGGCUGGCGGUCCAAUGAGCAGAGUGGGGGGAGUUACUGGCCUCGAUGGCAGAUUAACAAAAGGGAGACAUCUCUUACGCACGCGAAUACCCCAGCUACUUUGGCCCUGCAUCAUGAUCACUGCUCGGAGUGUAGCUUCCCGUGGAACCCCAAAGAUUCGGUGAACGGACGCGAAAUGUCGCAAAGAGACAGAGUGCCUGCGGAGAGAAAUCCAAAGCCUACUGUAAUGUUAGCAGCUAGUACAUGCAAAAACUAACAUUGACUAUACUGAGAGUGCACAUUGACUAAGGGGUGUUUGGGUUCCAAGGACUAAAAUUUAUUCCCUAUCACAUCGAAUAUUUAUAUACUACUAAUUAGGAGUAUUAAACAUAGACUAAGGGGAUGUUUGGAAAGGGGUGCUAAACUUUAGCACCUCACUUUUAGCACACUUUUAGCACUUGAACUCCCAAACAGGGGUGCUAAAAGGUGAGUGCUAAAGUUUAGCAUCCUUGUUUUUUUAGCACACCCAAGGGGUGCUAAAAGGUGCUAAUGGGUGCUAAAAGUAGUCUCCAAGCCCACUUUUUCCCUAGUUGCCCCCUCUCUCUCCUCUCCACUUUUCCCCAAGCCAGUCAUAAAUGAGGGCAAUAUAGUCAUUUCUCACCCAAUGUGCUAAACUUUAGCACUGUAUCCAUUUGAGGGUGCUAAAGUUUAGCAUUGUGUAUCCAAACAGGGCCUAAUUACAAAACCAAUUGCACAGAUGGAGGCUAAUUCGCGAGAUGAAUCUAUUAAGCCUAAUUAAUUCAUGAUUAGCACAUAUUUACUGUAGCAUCACAUUGUUAAAUCAUGGACUAAUUAGGCUUAAUAGAUUCGUCUCGUGAAUUAGCCUCCAUAUGUGCAAUUGAUUUUAUAAUUAGCUCAUGUUUAGUCCUCCUAAUUAGUAUCUAAACACUUGAUGUGACUAGUCCGUGAAACUAAAGCACACCUAAUAUCGCCCGCAUGUGCGUGUCCUGAUGAUAAAACUAGGACCGGUACAAUAAUAUGGUAGCCAGACCACAUGCAUGUGGAACUUUGACAAUGCGGAUCCACGCAUGUGGUUUCAUGCAGUCACAGGGCUCGAGGAGGACAUCACCGUGCACUUUGCACGCAGCAACACUGCACGAAUCAUCUAAACAAGCUCCUAGCUCCUUGCUCCUCUGUAUGAUCCCUGCACGUGUGCACUAAGGCUAAUGCUAGUACGAUCGGGCUAAGGACUAUUGGACUAAUAAUAUAUAUGGCAUCGACGUGCCCAGCACCAGAAGAGAAUCUAAUUAACACGGCUGGUAAUGCCAACUUUUCAGCAUAACUGACCAUGAUCUAGCUCCACCCUGCACAUCCGCAAGAAAGUGCAGAAUCGCCACGGGCGCCAGGCCCAGGAUUCCAGGAAGCAGCACGUACGGAAACACAGUGGCCGAUCGUCGCCCGAUUGUGCGAUCCACGGCUGUUUACACGUCACGUCGAUGAGUUAAUCGCCCAGGCGCGAACAGGGAACCUGCUGCUGACGCUCACUAAAGCUUGAACUUUUCCACGUGUUUACGCUUCUGCCCUCUAACCUCGAGACUUCAUCUUCAUUUUAAGCCGAUCGUUCAGCCUCGAGGCUUCAUCCGCGAUCCAAGAUGAAUGCCCAGCCUCGAGGCACCUGCUUUAUUGAGUCUUGUCAGGACACUACUAGGGAAAGCAGCUCUAAUACCGGUUAGAAACCCCCCUCUAAUACCGGUUGUGCAACCGGUACUAGCAAUUCAGUACUAGAGGGGGUCCCUUUACUAAAGGGUGUUAAAAAAUUAAAAAAAUUGAAAUCCCCAACCGCCCCCCGCCGGCGGCCCCUGUCGCCCCUCCGCCAGCUGCCUGGCCCCGCUGCCCUGCCGCUCUGCCUCCACCUCCACCCUGCAGUUCCGCCCCGCAACUCCACCUCCGCCCGCCGCCUCCGCCUCUGCCUCGCUGCUCCGCCCACCGUCACCGCCGCCACCUCACCUCACCCUGCCGCCGCUCCUCACCGCCAGUGAGGGGCGAGCGGAGGCAACAGGGGAGGGGAGGCACAGAUCGAGGAGCGUGGAGGGAGAGAGAUAGAUGAGGGAGAGAGAUAGAGAGGCAGACACGUGUUGGAGGAGGAGGAGACUGAGAUGAGGAGGAGGGAGGAGGAAGGGAUAAGGACUGGGAGGAGGAGGAAGGAGGAGAGAGGCAGCGCGCGGGGGGAGGGGGGAGGGAGGGGAGGGGGGCGGGGUGUACGCAUGAGAGAUUUAGUAUCAGGUGGGGUUCCCACCCAGUACUAAAGGGCCUCCGAGGAUCCCAAAUUUGGACCCGAUACUAAUGCUAACAUUAGUACCGGGCAAAAAAGUGAGCGGUACUAAGCCUCGGGAGGAGAGGUCAUUUUUGUAAUAGUGGGAGGUCCUAACCUCGCAUAGUUCUUCUUCGAGCAUCAUUCCUGAGUAAAGAGUAAAAAGAUAAAAGCUCGGUGUCCGGAACCGACUCCGAACACUCAAGGGUUAAUCCAAUGGGAGUUAGCCAUUAUUGUUGUCAAUCACUACCCUCAAGUCCUUCUAGGAGCAUAUGUGAUGCAAUGAUACAAGAUUUACUAUUAGAGGUGCCUCCAUAGAGCGUGCGAGGUUAAAGGGGUUCCGCUUUCCUUGCUGCCGACGCGCAACUUGCGAGGUUAGUCUUGAGACCUGUUAACGACGUUCGAGGGUAACUGAGUUUUACUCUCAAUUUGGAACUCGCGAGGCUAGAAAGGUUCCACGCUGUUGGCUAGGCACCCCUGGGCCCACUAGAAGACUUGUACUGACCCACUCAAGGGAACAUACCCGAAACCUACUCGGACAUGAAGACUACUCUGCAGGGCGCGUAGGCUUCAUGGACUCCCCGAAGACUAGUCUGGUCAAAAGAAAACUACUCUACCGAGUUAGAGUAGGACUCUGUAACAUACUCGACUAGGACUCAUACACAAUCCGCCCUGUAACCCUGCUCCCCUGACUAUAUAAGGGUGGGCAGGGACCCCCUCCAAACAACGAAGAACAAGAUCAAUACAAUCUACACACAUGACAUAGGGUAUUAUGCGAUCUAGCGGUCCGAACCUGUCUAAAUCAUAUUCCUUGUGUCACCAUCGACUCCUUGAUUCUCGACAACACCACCGCACAAAAUACCACCUUGGGUACUCCCUAGGCGGGUUACCGGUCUAAAACACCGACAGCUGGCACACAAGGUAGGGGAAGUCGCCGAGUUUCUCCACGCGAGAUCGAUGGCACUAGUCAUCAUCAAGCCAGCAUUCGCCUUCGAGGCAGGCACAACCUUCGUCUUCGGCUCCUAGCUUUGCAUCGCUGAUGGCGCUGGAUCCUUCAACGUUGCAUCAUCAACAAACAGGAAAAGAGGCAUCUCGACGAAAACUUUCUUCACCAAGAAGCAGAGAAUCUCAUCGAGAAUAUACAAAAUUUCAACGUCAACAACAUUGAGUUCAACUACGGCUCGGACUCGACCUCGAAGGAUUUUUUACGUUGUGCACGGUGCUCAAGGGUGUUUAGGUUUUGGCGAUCUCCAACAGUAGCCCCUCGUGGGCGAGGGUCGACUUCGACGGGCUGAACCCACGAAUUUGAGAUCGCUCACCUAAAACGUCACCCUCAAGCAUCAAAGGAGAAAUGAGCCAACGGUGACUGUUGACGCCUGAUGUGUCACUUUCUAAUUGGGUGCCGUUUCGAAUUGAGAUCGCAAUUCAAGGUGUCCUUUCGCACUCACUAACUCCCCUAUAAAAGGUAGGGGUAUGGGUUGCUCAAGGUUGUCAUCACGUCUUUGUUGAGAACUUGUUUGCUGCCAUUUUCUUGCUUUGAGAUUCGUGUUUUUCUGCUCCUUGUAUUGAUCUUUCUAGCUUCAAAGGUAUUAUUCCUAUACUUCUCUUGCAUUCUUUUCUACUUUUGCUUUUUCACUUGUUGUUUGAUUUAUUUUUGUAUGUUAUCUAGCUGGCUCGUACUAUUCAAACUGCGAGGUUAAUGACUCCUGAAGAGCCGAAAGAGCAAGUGUGGGUACGCUCCCGAGUGACAGGAGGUCCACGGGGAUUUUCAGCAUCGGGAGGAUCGCGAGGGUUCUCAACAUUAGGAGGAUCUUGAGGAUCCUCAACAUCUGGAGAUUUCUUCGAAUACUGAUAGUGGAGAGGAUUUGACCAACGUCGAGGCUCAUCCUUUGGAGCUCAUGGCCAGCAAGGACACUUAUGCACCAACGCUUCGUUUUGGCUGUUCGCUGGUUUCCCAGAACACAAAAGACUUUUAUGUUAGCAAAGGUUACUUUCCCAAGGACGUGGCGAGGCCUCCCGGCGAAGAGCUUGUGCCAAAACCCAAUCCUGGCGAGGCUGUGGUCUUCAAGGAUUUUUUCACUACCGGCCUACGUUUUCCAUGUGACAAGAUGUUGCCUCAGAUCCUGGACAGGUAUGGGGCCAAGCUUCACCAGCUUACGCCUAAUAUUUUUAGACUUUGUAAGUUUUUCUAGGUCGAGCGCACCUUUGGUGGGGUUGUUGAUGUAGAUGGCUUUGCGAGGCUCUACGAGCUUCAUAUUAAAAAAAACAGAGAGUUCAAUUUGAUGAUGAGGAAGAGGCUUUUGAGACUCAAUUUGGUUGUUGUACAUUCACGACCCGGAGGAAAAAUGAAAAUAAGAAGAUUUCUAGAGUUGAGGUCUCUAUAGCUCAGGAGAACAGAUGGGACGAUGAUUGUCUUGCUUACUGGUUUUAUGUCAAGGUUGACAUGUGUGAGGCUUCUGGUUUUGGUCAGCCAUUUACCUGUUCUGUAGUUCAAUGUCUUCUCUUAACAUUAAAUCGGUUCCGACUUUUGGGAGGACAAAAGCUUUUCGGACUUGCGAGGAUGCUUUUGUUCUUACAUGUUCAUCUGUUGUCGGACGUGACUUGUUUGAAGAAUUUCUGGCCGCGGGUAUUUGGCCCCUUUCUCAUGGGUGGAUGCCGAAGGAAAUCAUGGUGAAAACUGUAACGUGGUACCACAAGCCGGUUCCAUUCCUCUGUUUGGUUUGAGCUUGUCGGAGGGGGUGAAUGCUAAUUUUUUUUGUUGAUGAGGUUGAGAGACAUACUGUUGAUAUCCUGGGGCCUUAUCACGAGAGCGAAUAUCUGUCGGCUCGCAAGAUUGUUCCACAUGGUGUCUAAGUGAAUCGUAUAUUUUCUGACAUGGGAAUAGAAGUAGAGCCUCGAGUCAAGCCUCGUAAACCCUCGAAGCGGAUGCGCGAGGCUGGUGCUACUGGUUCUCCGGAAAUUGGCAGCAAUGUAGGGAAAGGGAAAAAGAAAAAGAAAGCUGAAGAUUCGUUUGUCAUGGCCGUUGUUGAAGUUGGGAAAAAGUCAAAGACUCCUAGUCUUGAAGCCCUUAAAAAGAACAGUUUUCUUAGUCAAGGCUCUUCUGACGAUCAAGCGUUAGGUUGUUCCAGCAAAGGCUCGAUGUUGUGGAGGAUUUGAAACCCUUGAGUUGAAAGCCCGAGGUUAAAGCUAUUGAUUCAAAGAUUGAGCUCGAGGCUGCGGGGGCUUUAGCAGGUUUGAAGCUUAAGAAGGUUGCCAAAAAAUUUGGACUAUGAAUUGUCAGUGUCUUAGAUGAUGACAACGAUGAUGAUGGCUUUUUGGAUGAGGAUUCAUCGUUGGUUUCUCCUCUGCGAGGUUUGCUUGAUGACAAAACUUUAGAUGCUCCUAGUCAAAAGGAGUUGCACCCCGAGGUUGUCGUUUCUGCCAAGAAGGCUAAUCCUGACUCGGUGGUGUGGAGUCUGCGGAGCAGCCGUUGCAUACUCCAUCAGGUAAAAAUGUCAUCGAAUAUCCACCUGAAUUAAGCUUCGUGGAUGCUAGCGGUGCUUCCACUAAAUUUUUGAUGGAAUUGUAAAAUACUAUUAGCGCAGCUGGAGAGCCAUAUAUUGAACCCUCGUUGCUUUUGAGGGUGGACUCUCUGCCCGAGGUUCUGCCCCGCCUCAGUCUGUGCUGGACUACAAUAAGGCUUUCGGAACAAAUCUUAAGGAGAAAUUACUAGAUGUCCAUGUGCUCGGGUUAGGUGAGGAUGACUAUCCUUUCAAUCCUACACUACUAUGGGGACUGAGGGACUCACUUUGGGUUGUAGGUGAGACAGUGGAAGCAACUUUGAAGGAGACGUCUAAAUUCGUGAGGAGGGUGAACUUGCUAAAGAUGAAGGGAAAAAUCCUCAAGCUCCUGCGUGGGUUAAGGCUUCAGUUCAAAGUGACACCCAGGGUAGUUAUUUUGAUCCUGAGGGUUAGUAUUUUGUUGGAUUUCUCUCUAGCUCUCUUUUUUAUGAGAUCUUUGCUUAGGAUUUUCACUUUUAUUUUGCAUAAUAAGAAAAAUCUUUGCGAUGUUUAUGACCUUGAUCAUUUGGCGAGGAUCACAGCUACCCUUGGCUACAAAAUGUGAAUUUUGUUGUUGUUUUUAGUGUUUUUCCUUAACCUGUUUGAAACUUUUCCUUGAUAUACUUUUUGUUUUUUUGUUUUUUCUUCUGGUGUAAUUGUUGGCAAGUUUGCUACUGAUAGGCUUCAAUAUAAAGAGAAAUCUAUGCUUGAGCAGAGUGCUAGAAUUCUUGAACUCGAGACUGAAAUGUCGAAGUUGAGGAAAGAGAAAUCCGCGUUGGAUAGUCUCUGUAACUCACUUAAGGAACAAAAUGCUGAGGUUAAGAAGAACAAAGACCUUCUUGUGAUGACAUGUAGUGAUCUUCCUCAAAAGGUGGAAACCUUGGAGAAGAAUUCAUAGACAACCUCGUGGUUCUUGAGAAGCUGCGUAGUACCAUCGAGAGAGAUGCGCCGACUAUUAGUUGUCUAGCAAAAACAACGAGGGGCUUGCAAAGCCUUGUACUGAAAAGGAUUCAAUGAUUCAAAAAUUGGGGAAGAGCCUCAAGGAUCAGAAAGGUUUUAUUUAUGGGCCGAAACAAGUGCUGAAGGCCCGCUUUGCUCAGAUCCAUGAGGGAUACAAACUUGCCCUGGCUGAAUUUGGGGCAGAGCCGCUCCCCUUUCCUAUCGAUUCUGGCGCUAAGGAAAUGUUCGAUUGGAUGGACAAAGAGCUCGAGUCCUUGCCUUAUGUUAUUGCAUGUGCUAGUGACUACGCCGCUUCCUUUUACUGCGAGGGCACUCUAAAGAUGCUCGAGGGGGAAGGCUGGUCAAACUUUCUGACACUCGGGCCACGUAGCUAUUAGUUUCCCUUAGCCUCGGAGCUUGAUGCACAAGAGAUGUCCAAGAAUGUGAAAAUUGGAAAGAAGAAUUUCUUGAAGCAGUUUUGGGCGGCUUCCGGACAUAAUUAUGCGAAACUAGUUGCCUGAGAUCAUCUUGUGAAGGUUCGUAUCAUUUUUCCUUUGUAAGAAAGCUUGCUAAGGUACUCUUCUUUUUGCCUAUGGUUUUCCUUUUUUCUUAUGACAGGUUAAAGAGACUGAAUUGGAAGAGAAAAACAAUUAGGAGGUGGGAAGCUCGGAGCAUCAUGAGGUUUAGGUUCAAGUCUGAAAAAGUCUGAACUUUUAAUGUACAGGUAGGGUCUGAGUACUGGAAUAGUUAUUUGUUGUAACUUAACCUACGUAGAUCCUUGGUGAUGGUCCUGUGCAGGACAUACUUUCCCUUCGAUUCCAUCGUGUGAACGUUGUUGCUAGUGGGCACACUUGGCGUCUUUAUCAUUCUUUUUCAUCCCAACGCUAGUUUUCAUCUUUACGUUGGAUUAUCCAACUGUACACUUGGUGUAGUGGAAGAAGAAAUACCUGAAGCCUUAAGGGUGAAGUCGGGGCCACUUAGCCUAGAAAACAGUGAAUUUGACUUAGCCUUUGUGUGUGAUGUUGUAGAGUUUCGAGGUUCGAAACCUGGUCAUGUGAUUGAAUUGUCAUUUUGACAGGUAACAAAACUCACAUAUAGGAAUAAAUUCUGUUUUUUCUUGAAAAAACAUCAACCCCUCCUUAUUCCUUUUUGCGAAGAUUUUGUUGUAGCUAUUAAAGAUCGAGCAUGUUUGUUUAAUAAGGUUUUUGGCAUGUGAUAUUUUGAUUAGCCUUGAGGGGGUUAUUGAUCUGUUGCUUUAGCGUAAUUUUCACACUUAAGGAUGAAAACCUUUUUUGCGAAAAAUGUCACCGCCCCCUUUCAUUCCAUUGUGUGAAUUGUGUUGGUUGAUGCCCUUUUGAUCAAUGAUUGGGUCAUCCUCGAAACUUUUAUCUUUUGAUGUAAUUUUUAUUAAAGUUUCUGUACUCAAGUGUUCUAAUGAUAAGUUAACAAAAACUUGUUUCGAGUUUUGUGGGCUUCAAAAAAUUGGAUGAAAAGUUAGGUCGAAAUCGCAACUUUUGGUUGCUUUGACCAUAAAGCUUGUAGACCUGCGAGGUUAGGUAAAAUUUUGCAUAAACGCUGAUCAUGUAAAGCUGAUGCCAUAACUUUUGCUUCUGGAUAGAGAUUGCGCAGAAAUGCAACUCUUUUUUUGCACAGAUAUGCGAUGUUUUGCUUGCGUAGAAAUGCAAGGUUCGAGGUAUUCAAAAAGUAGAAUUAAUGUGCAACUUCUUGUUGCUUUUGCCCGAUGAUUGCGCAGAAACGCAAGUUUUUUGUCGCACAGAAAUGCGAGGUUUUGCUAUAAUUUGUUGUUGCCUUUUGUUUUAGCUUGCACAGAAAUGCAAGUCUUGCUUGCGCGGAAACGCAAUGUGAUAGCCCCUUCGAGGCUUGACAAACAUGAGGUAAGGGGGAAUUGUACUUUAUUAGAAUGUAAAAGGUUUAAAUAGAUCCGCAGCGUUAAAAACCUUGGCUCCAGCGUGGAGCCCCCUAGCAAGGAAAAGAUUAUCGUCCGUUUCUUGGAAAGUAAAUGCGAGAAAGUAAAUUUUCCACCCUCAACGUUGUUUAUAGAUUCACAGGCCGAAGGCUUUUACAAGUGUGGCGACUAUGGGUAAUAUUUGUGCAAGUUAUCCAUAUUCCAAGAAUGUGGUAACUCUGCUCCAAGCUAAUUUGCAAGGUAAAAGGAUCCUGCCCUGUUGCUUCGAGUGACAACAUAUGACCCUUCCCAAGUUUCUUGUAACUUCCCAAGGUUCUCCUAGUUCUUCCUCUUUUUGAUAACUAGAUCUCCUACCUUGAUUUUUUUUCACUACUUUCCUAUCCCUCCAUUUUCUUAUUUCUUAUUGAUACUUGUCAAGAUUUUCUGUUUCUUGGAGUAUGUCAAGCUCUAUCAUGUCCUUACCGAUCUUCUCAUAGUCUAAGGAAGCCUCGAUCUUGAGCACUCUUAAGAUUUCAUUCUUAAUUUCUUCAGGUGUCAUUUGGCUCGGGCGGGCACAAUUUCGUCAUGUUUGUUAGGUAGUCUUUCAGUUCUGCGAAGGCUUUGCUUUGCUGCUUUCCCCAUUCAAACUUCUUGGAGCUUCGCAACACUUGAAAAAGGGUAGACUUCUUUCAGCAGCUCUCGGAAUGAAUCUGUUGAGGGCUGCUAUUCUUCCUGUCAAUUUUUGCACAUCUUUUACCGAAACUGGUUCUUUCAUGUCGAUUAGAGCUUGGAUUUUAUCUAGAUUAGCCUCGAUGCCCUUGGUUGAGACUAGGCAUCCUAGGAUCUUACUUCGUUGAAUUCCAAAUACACAUUUUUUUGGAUUCAACUUUAAGUUUGUUGCCCUCAGAUUAGCAAUGGUUUCUGCGAGGUCAUGAAUAUGAUCUUUACGUUUGUCACUUUUUACCACGAUAUCAUCCACGUAAGCUAGGAUGUUUCUUCAAAGCUAUGUGCUUAGGACUAUUGCUAUCGUUCUUGAGAAAGUUGACCCCGCAUUCUUGAGCCCCUCGGGCAUUCUCAAAAAGCAGCAUGUCCCGAAUGGAGUGAUGAAACUCGUCUUUUCCUCAUCUUCCUUUUUCAUUCGUACUUGGUGAUAGCCUGAGAAAUUAUCUAGUAGUGAUACCAUUUCACUAUUUGCAGUGUCAUCUACCACCUUGUCAACCCUUUCUAGUGGGAAGUCAUCUUUUGGGCAUGCCUUAUUGAGGUCAGUAAAAUCUAUACACAUUCUCCAUUUGCCAUUUUUCUUCUUGACUAGAACUAUGUUUGCCAGCCAUUCAGGAUACAUAACUGUGCAUAUUACAUUAGCAUCAGCUAGCCUUUGAACCUCUGCUUUAACAGCUUGUAUCUUAUCUUCUGACAUUUUUUGAAGCUUGUGCUUUUUUGGUCUCCCGCCUUUGUUUAUUUCUAACUUGUGUUCUAUUAUAUCUCUAUCAAUUUCUUGCAGGUCACCUACAGACCAUGUGAAGACAUCCUUGUUCGUGUUCAAGAAUUCUAUUAGCUUUUCUUCAUCGGGUUCGAGGUUGGCCCCGAUGAUUACAGCUCUAUCGAGGACAUGUUCAUCUAGCAACACUCUUUUGGUUUCACCAUCAGCAUUCAUUUUCACCUUUUCUUUAUCUUUUUUAGGCUCGACGUAUGGCUUUUUCUUUUCUGAGGGCUCAACCUUGUUGGAACUUGCUAAGUGUUGUACAUUUUUCUGCCCCGGGAUUGCACCUUUUUCAAUGUCCCUGACUGUUUGCUGAUCGCCGUAGACUGUGAUGAGUCCUUUCAUUGUUGGGAUCUUCAUACACAAGAACAGCUACCUUAUCACUGCAUCAAACUUGUUGAUGAAUCCUUUGCCAAAGAUAGCGAAUUAUGGAUAGUACAUUUCCACAACAUCGAACGUUAUGUGUUCCGUUCCCGUGUUGUCUAGGUUUCCAAAUGAUACUGGUAGUGUGAUUUUCCCCAAGACUCGUACUGGCUUUCCAGCGAACCAAGUAGUGGCACUUCUGCUGGCUGUAGCAGGAGAGGAUCAAUUUUCAUUUCUUUGAAUGUGUUUGUGAAAAUGAUAGCUGUUGAGCUUCCAUUGUCAUUUUCAUUUCUCUGAAUGUGUUUGUGAAAAUGAUAGUUGUUGAGCUUCCAUUGUCAACUAAUUGUAGCAGGUGAGGAUCAAUUUUCAUUUCUAUAAAUGUGUUUGUGAAAAUGACGGCUGUUGAGCUUCCAUUGUCAACUAAUACUUUUCCAAUUGUCCAUCCUGCAACAAUAGCCUCGAUCACCAUUGUGUCAUUAUGCGAGGCUGUUUUGAGUUUGAAGUCUUCUUCCGUGAAGGAGAUGGGUAUGUGUGCCCAUUCUGGCUUAGCUGGUGGUCCAUCAGGGAUGAUCGAAUGGAUUUGUCUGAAGUAAUUUUGCCUUUGCCUUUUGUUCUCAAACUCUAGUGGGGGUCCACCCACUAUUGGUAUGAUCAUGCUGUAGGUGGGCAAGGCGUUGGAAUUGGUUUUUGGAUUUUCGAAUAGUUGCGAGAGUCCCCCUGCUAUUGGCAUUAUCAUGCCGUAGGUGGGUAGGGCUUUGGGGUUGCUAUUUUGACCAUUAUUAGGCUUGGCUUUGGAUAUUUGAUUGGGUAGAUUUGGUGGAGGUAGUGGUAUCUCUUGUAGAGGCUGAGGCAGUGCGAAGGUUGCAGUUUGUGAGGCUUGCUGACUUUAAGAUUGAAACUGUGGCGAUGGUUGCCACAUCAUGGUGGGUUGGUAGUUGAAGGAAGGAUUAGUAAAUGAAUUUGCGAGGUUGGGUUUAUGGGCGGUAUGGAGGUUCAUUUGUGGAUAAACAUGGCAAUAUGGUUGUUGUGGCCAAAAAGAGGUGUGGUGGAUGAUUUUUGGCGCUACUGUUGCUCUUUUUUCUUCUGCUAUCCUUUCAAAAGUCUUUUUUGUUUCUGGGCAGAAGUCGGUCGUGUGAUUUAGUUGCUUGCCAUGAAAUGUGCAAUAGAACAUUCGAGGUUAGUUGUUCUAAUUGUGUGGCUUCAGAGGUCCUCAGCCUCGGCCCCUCCUCCUGCUUGAGCUGCCCCUUUGCCCAUUGCCAUAACUUGUUUGUUGUUGCUGAUGGGGUUGUCCAUUUUGAUUUUGACUUCGUUGCUGUGAGGGUUGAGCACCCUCAAUCGGUAGCACAUGUUGAGCUGGAUAUGGCUGUUGAUGUUUGCGAAAUUGUAUUAUGGGGUUUGCCAAUUUUGAUAUUUUUAGGCUUGCCUUUGGCGAUUUCUCUCCAUUACUCUUUUUCUGUGGUCCUCAUCCGACCUGCAGUAUUUUUCCAACUCGGCGAACAAAGCUUACAUGGUUUUAGGUUUUUCAUGUGUUAGGUGCGAAGCUGUCGGGCCUGGUGUUAACCCUUUGAUGCAAGCUGCUAUGGCUACACUUUUGUCCACAACUGGAGUUUGUGACUUCAAUUGUACGAAUCCUUUGACAUAAUUGGCUAGGGGUUUUUUGUCUCUCUGGAUGCAGUGGAACAAGUCACCCAAGUAUGUUGUUGCACGAUGGAAGCCUUGGAAGUUUUGUAUUAGCUUUGUUUUGUGUGACGGAACAUCCGACUUAAACUAGCUUAAGUGCACCUAAUUGGUGUCGGAACUGCAAUUAUACGAAACAGACUUAAAAUAGUGUAAGCUCGGUAGUCCGUCGAGUAUCCCUAGGAUGCCUCCGAACAUCCACGACAUGUUUCAUAGCCAUACAUCAAGAUCGCUUCCAUGAAGGGAAAGCAUCAACAAAUAUUACAUUUUUACAUAGAUACAGAAGGUGCGAAUUAUUAUAAACCGUAGAUUGAAGUAAACUUAACGGUGAAAGUUUUGAACAUAAAAACCAGCCCAAGGGCAAGUAAUUAUACACCUAGGGUAUUAUGAGACUCGUAAAUACCUUAGUUCUUCAGGACUUCUUAUUCGGAAGUCCCUUGUUGUGCUUUUGAAAACAACAACAAUAUAGAUAGAUUUAAAAUAUUGUAUGAUAGCUUUAUGGUGUAGUAGGUGACUCACAAAUUUUUGCGAAAAGCUUACUAGUAGUGGCACCUUAGUUGUAUCAUUUUAAUUUAGAAUAGUUUUACCUGAACGUACUCGGCGAAUAAAACAUUUUUGAGCAAACAAGUGGAACUAAGUCAUACAACAUAUUAAUUUUAGAAAAAUAUUAUAUUCAACUUAAUUACUCUACGAUGCUUAAGCGAUGAUCAAGUGCAUUCAUAACUGAGAAUUGCGGUGAUCCGGGCUGAUUUACAUCCUGCAGGAGAUACCUAAUCACCAGCUAUGCACAACUGAUCGGGUUGCACAUAACAACCUUUCGAUUAGGUGUACCCAAAGAUCGAAAAUAUAACUACCCGAACCCAUGGAUGCACCCCCACAUGGGACUCCACGUCUGGCCUGAUCUCCAUGAGAGUUUCAGGCUACGCCCCUGCCAUUCUCCAGCAUGACAAGCACUUAGGAAUAUGGGUACCCCAUGGGUCACCACUGACCAGGAUACUGGCUGGACCUGACAAGUGGGCCCACCCAACCAGGGCGUACAGGCCGAGGACAUGAAGAUACUUGGAGUGCAUGUCAAGGAGGCCAAGUGGUUCAAAUCAGCUCGGAUGUUGCGGGACGCGUUUUGUAGUCCAACUCAGAUUACCUUUCAUGUAACUACCAAGUAAAUUAGAUUCAAAUCAACUUGUAACCCUAGGUCGUCAGCCUAUAUAAGGGGGCCAAGGGCACACCCCAAGGGUAUGGCGUGUCGACUCUCGAGCAAUAUAAACCAGCAACAUACAGGAUGUAGGGUAUUACUCUCCGGAGGCCCGAACCUAUUUAAAAUCCUCGUGUCACUGGUGCUCUCACGAUCACCUUCGAGUUCUUGGUCUCGCAAUCGCCUCCACCUACAAAUUGACCACUUGGGGAACCCCCUGGUGGACUGUCGGGCUUAUAAAUCCGACAAGCACGGCUAAGAAUAUUUCCAAUAAGAGAGCCAACUAACCCACCAGGCUUGCUGGUUGCCAAUGGCAUUAAGCAACCAGGUAAAAUCACUUGAUCAAAGGUUAAUACAACGAACGUGCCUUAACCAAAUUAACUUAGUAGAGAGAACUACCAUCUCUAGCUUCUGUCCACCUUUCCAAAAUUUCAAGUUAUUUUCCUUGAUUAACAUGUAUGACACUUUUAACCUUAGGUAAUCGAGUAACAAAGGGAAUCUAAGCAUUUCUAAGCAUAGGAUGGUUACUAAUUAAUUGAAUAGGUGGUAAAGAUGUCCUAUAAACAAGGUGGGGUCCUUCAUAAGAAUUGGUUGCAAUCAACUCCUAGACUUAAUGCAUUCAUAAGGAAAUAACAAUUAAUUGGACUCAUGAAUAAUAAUUUUUGAAAUUAGAUAGGCUUAGAUGCACCGGGGCUUGCCUUGAUUCACAAAAAAGUUAGUAUUCUCUGGAGCUUCUUCCACACAAGGGAUCAAUUCAACUACCUCUUUGAAUUCCUAAGGUUCUUCUGGGAUUUCCAAGAAAUCCACUUUCGGGGCUUCUAUGUCUACGAUAGGAUGCAUGCAUUAGUUAGAUAUGCAAACCUUUGAAACAAAAGACUAUACAACUUAUCUUCAUGAUAAAGUUUCAAGCCAACACUAAUCUACCCAAUGAUUAACCCACAAUUUUAAUUUCCUUAACUAACCUAACUUAAGCAUUUUCUUUUUUAGAAAAGGAUUAUAAUUAAUUUAUAAUAUGAAAAACUUAAUUCCUAUGGAUUAAUAAAUAUUUGUGAAUAAUAAAAAUAUUCAGAAUUUUAUUCAUUUCAUAAAGAUUACAUAUUUAUUUAAAUAGCUUAAUCAAAGGCAUUAAUAAAUACUUCAAUUUUUAUUUAUUUUAUCCUAGGGUUUAAGAAUUUUUAAUUCAUAAAGGAAAAUAAAAUACACCUAAUAAAAUUGGUUUCACUAAAUUUAGACAAUUCUAUAAAUUCUAAUGAUUUAAAUAUAAAAGUAGGAAUUUAAAUCUAUUUUCUAAAUCUAAAACCCAACAGUAUCCAAAAUGCCCCCCUUCUGUACUUUUCUCACGCAACUCCGGCGUACCCUACAUGCUGACACGCGGGCCCCGGGUCAACAGACUAACCCCCAGCCUUGACCGAGAGCGGGUCGGUGGGUAAGCGUCGAACCUCGAUGCCGGUGAUGUUCCUGGCAACGGGGAGGCCUCCACUAGACUCGCGACACCCUUCCGCAUCCCCUGAUGGUGUUCUAGCGGUGGUUGGUUGGACGAUGAUGAUGAAUGGCACAAGAUCGAUGGCGGCGUAGUGACGCUAGCUGACCGUCGGCGCAAAGCUCACCGGCGGUGACCCUAUGGCAACAAACGACGCUGCAGCCUCUACCACUACGCUAGCAACCCAGCACGCCCUCCAACCCGAGCAAACCAUGGACGGAGCAAUGCUCUCCACAGCGGCGACCAUGGCACAAGCACGACGCACGGCAGCGUGAGCGUUCUGGCCAUGCCGGCGGGACUCCAAGCCAACAAGCGAGGCCUACACCAUCCCUAGCUCAUGCGUGACCUACCCAAACCCUUGGACCAUGACUAGAACUUCGGCACAAGGCAUCUCCACGGCGGCGCCCUUACCAGAUCCGAGCGGCGGCCAGAACCGAGGAAGAAGGUGGCGAUGAACCGAGGUUGUGAGGACAGUGGCUGGACGGAGGCUGUCGGGAUGAGUUUUUGGAAGGGCCUCAGGGUGGUGUUUUUGGCAGAGCGGACUAAAUGGCGGUGGUGGGACACCAGCGGAGCAGAACGACAACCGGGCCAUGGUGAAAAGCAGCGCACGUGGUGAAACAGAUAAUGCCGGCGGCGGAGCAGAAUAGCGAUCGGGGCGCGGUGAAAAGCAGAGCACGCGGUGAAACAAAUAAUGCCGGGGGCGCGAGCAGUAAAGACAUGAAAGUUUCACUACCUUCCCGAGCGCCACCUCCUGCCUGCUUGCCUGGUCUCGUGGGGCUUGCCUUUACUGGCGCAUGGCACAGCGGCGGCGCUCUUGCCAUCAAUGGCAAACAGCUGUGUGGCACCGGGCCGGCCCUGCUCUUCCUUUUUCUUUCCCCAAUUCACCCGAAAGUUCAGCUUCAAUUUGUGCCCGAUUUGCAAUUCAAGGUCUUGGAUUUCCUUUAAGAGAAGUUGCAGAGGAUCAUGUGUUCUACAUUUGAUUGAUUUGCAUCGGGAUCAAAAGAUCACUCCAUCACCUUGAAUUUUUGCCCCCAAGUCGAGUUAGGGUUCUGCUCUGUCAGAACUAAAUUGCCCCCCUCCAUUCAGUUUCAUCAGAGACUUCCAAAACAGCCCGAUGCUUCACUUUGAGCUCAAAUUCAACAACUCAAACUUGGUUUAUUUUGCCAAACAGCUACUGGAAUUUGUUAACCAUAUGACAGGGCUUCUAUUUUGCCUCUUAAAGCCUAAUGCUUAGAUAUAAAAUCUUCCAAGAUUUCAAGCCAAAAUAGACCAAAUCUCACUGUCCAUAUAACUAAAUUGGCGAUUGCCAUUCGGUUUCGUCAGUUAAACUGACAGUAAAACAUUCAAACUUUGAGCUUCCAGAAAAAUUUGAAGUUCCUUCUUUCCUUGUCCAACAGCAUGCUCAAACUAUUUACUGGACAUCAUAGUCCACUUGUAAUCCAAAAUCUUUCAAUUUUUAUAUGAAAAAUCUUCCAGAAUUGAAUUUCAAAGUUGCAUACCGGACACUGUUUUUAGACUUCACUCAGUUCAGCAACUAAGUUGAAAACUACACAACUUUCAAAAUAUGAACCUCAUUUAAAAUAUCAAUCCUUGGUUUCUCUAGCAAACAACAGGUCCAAUAGAUUCACUACAUAUCAAAGUCCACUUGUUUCCCAAAACUUUCCACUUUCCAAAGCUUACCUGAAAAAUCUCUUAGAAAAAAAUUUCCAAAUUGCCAACUUGCCACUGUAUUCAGACUUAAAAGUUUUUCUGAUGGAAACAAUAACUUCAAUCAGCCACUUUGAUUUUUGAAUUUUUGAUGCGUUUGACUUGAAUUUGGUCUCUAAUUUGAUUCCUUUGAAUUCUAAAUACCUCCAAGGCUUGACUUCAUAUUUUUGUCGAAUUUCUUCGAAUUUGAAUCUCAAAUUUGCAUUUUUGGUCAAAUUUGACCCAAAGUUGACUUUGGCCCAUAAUAUCUUCUUAUCAUCCAAAAUUCAUUAUUAAGACUUUAAGGGCCAUUCUUAAACCUUUAACAACCUGGUUGUUACAUUUUGAGAUCGAUCCAGUUGUAUACUAACUGCGGUAGGAGCAGUGAAUACUAGUUCAACGUGGCACCCUCGCAGGCUAUGAUUAGGGACUUGGCUAAGAAAACAUCGUCUCCUCUAGCUGAUGCUACUGCAGCUUCGUAGCUCAUGAGGAACUGACUAGGGUAAUUUUGCCCAUUGAACUUUGGUAGUGAAAUUGUCUUCUAGGUUCGAGGCCACAAAGCUGUUUGCAGACCUAUGGACAGUGGAGACCUUUGGUCGAUUGCUACAUAGGCGCAUGUCAUCACUGGCACGUUGGUUAGGAUUUGCUUGCGAGAUGUUUGCGGUGUUCACGACAUGUUGCUAUCUCAAGGGUGAUGGUUGUGUUUGCGGUUGUGGUAGCGUGUUUUGUAAGUAUUGCACUUGCAAUUCUGCCAAUUGUUGUUUUGCUUGAUUUAGUUUUGCUAUUUUUUGGGCAGCUAGACCUUGGGCUUCUAGUUCUUAAGCAAAUCUUUCUUUUUCUUGUUUUAGAGUCUCCAGUGGCUUUAGGACCAAGGCCAACUCCUUUUAUGCUGCUCCGAGCUGAUCGUUGCUUGUGCUUGUCUCAGGUUGUGCUUGGUUUGUAGCUUCUGCCUUGACCCUUUUUUUCUCGCUUCUUGUUCGUAAAUUAUCCUCGACUCUCUUUAACUUCUCUAUGGUAUUUGUGUCAUCUUAAUCAACAUGGACAAGUCUUUUCUCUUUAGCCACAGGGUUCUCUCUUUUACCCUCAGCGGCUUCCUGUAGUCCGGUCUUCUUCUUCCUCGUUUGUGGCAUCGUGGGUUGUUUUGUGGCUAAAAACAUGGUGGGCGCCUCUGUUGGUGUCAAACAAUUUCAACACCGAACAUAUUUAGAGUUACAAAUAGAACGGAGCCUUCCUUUUAAUUGAAAAGGCGUUCUUCCUUUGCAAUAGGGUUGGGCUCCCCUUUUAUAGUGAUCCAUGGCCUACUUUACAUUCCGAAAAUGUCAUCUCUAAACCACUAUAUCCCUAGGACAUGUGGUACAUAAAGGUCAUUAAGGAACACGUGUAGAAAUUAAACUUUUCCACGUGGUCACGCUUCUCAUACCUUUCUCCCUCUAACCUUGAGACUUAAUCUUCAUUUUAAGCUGAUCGUCCAGCAUCGAGGCUUCAUCCGCGAUCGGAGACGAAUGCCCGACCUCGAGGCGCCUGCUUCAUUGAGUUUUGUCAGGAGGUCCUAACCUCGCAUAGUUCUUCUCCGAGCAUCAUUCCUGAGUAAAGAGUAAAAAGAUAAAAUCUCGGUGUCCAAAACUGACUCCAAACACUCGAGGGUUAACCUAGUGGGAGUUAGCAAUUAUUGUUGUCAAUCACUACCCUCGAGUCCUUCCAGGAUCAGAGGUGAUGCAAGGAUACGAGAUUUACUAUUAGAGUUGCCUCCAUAGAGCGUGCGAGGUUAAAGGGGUUCCACUUUCCUUGCUGCCGAUGCGCAACUUGCGAGGUUAGUCUUGAAACUUGCUAACGACGUUCGAGGGUAACUGAGUUUUACUCUCAAGGGGUGUUUGGAUACUUGAGCUAAAGUUUAGUUCUUGUCACAUUGAAUCUUCGGAUGCUAAUUAGGAGGACUAAACAUGAGCUAAUUAUAAAACUAAUUACAUAGAUGAAGGCUAAUUCACGAGACGAAUCUAUUAAGCCUAAUUAAUCCAUGAUUUGAUAACGUGAUGCUACAUAUUUAAUUAGGCUUAAUAGAUUCGUCUCACGAAUUAGCCUCCAUCUUGCAAUUGGUUUUGUAAUUAGUCUAUGUUUAAUACUCCUAAACAUUCGAUGUGAUAGGAACUAAACUUUAGUCCAUGGAACUAAAUGAGGUCUCAGUUUGGAACUCGCGAGGCUAGAAAGACUCCGCACCUCUUUAUACUUGAUGUAAAACUUGCGAGGUCAAAGGGUUUCCUCUACCGUGGACGGCGCUCGAAAUUGUUCAGCCAUGGUGGAGGUGACAUCCCGAGUCACUCGCCAUAGGGUCGUCAUUGUUGGAAUAUAUGGGCUUGGUCCAAAUAUUUAUUCAAUUACAAGGAUUAAAAGCCCACUAAUAAAUGCUAGAGAGUUAAGUGCUUAGUCCCACAUGGGGAUUUAAAGAGGAUCUUUACUGACUUAAAUGGUGGACUUUGAGUACACCUAUUGCGAAGUCGAUAAAAGAGAUUGGCAUGCCACACGUGCGCACGCGCUCACUCGCCUCACCGGGCCGGGCCGUGGGCGUGCCGUGCCGAGCCGAGCCGACGAGCGAAGCGAUGCAACGCGAUGUGUGUUGUGAACCUUUUGCAGGUCGUUAGAGUCAUCAAUUGAGUCAAUCCAGUGACGGCUAAGGACUAAAUUCGGGAAUAUUCUAACGGUUACUGGUUUGAUAGCCUUGAUUACUGGGUAAAUUGAUUUUGUUUGAUGACUGUGCUGACUACCAGAUCAUGUCCAGGUUCAUCAUCGCUCUCUCAUCGCUCAGCUAUAUAAGGCUCUCUUUCCCCUCCUGCUAGACUCACACUGCACCAAGUACUCCUUUCAGGAGACUUCUCUCUUCUCCCUCUGUUUUUCUGUUGCGCUCUUGUAUUCCCAUCGCCAGCACUGCGCGCAAACAUUCUAGCGAGAGCAGAGCCUCCGGAAUCUCGCCUUCUGCCAGAGAUCCUACUCGGGAUAGGCAGGUGAUAAGAUUGUUGAGGAGCGUUGAACGCGACUGCUCACUCCCUUCCUGAUCGACUACUUCUUGGUGGCCAAGACGCUGAUCGACUACUCCCUCUUUUUCCUGGAGGCCGUUCGAGUGAUUGCAUUGCAACGACCUCUUCGUGCGUCAUUAUUGUACGACUACAUCGACUGAGGCCAUCUCACGACUAGUAUGACUAGUCCAGAUGGUAAUGGCGCAUCCGGUGCCUCCGGCACCGGCCCCGCCCCAUGGUACAUUCUAAAUCAUUUGUGCCUAUUUUCGUUCCUGUUUAUUAGUUGUUUAAACUUGAACACUGGCACAUUUUAUCAUACCACCAAAUCACUUAACAUAUUCGUGAUAAUAUUUUACAUGUUUAAUUUUAAAAUUAAAAUAUGCUGAAAUAUGUCUAAAUUUCUAACAGUCAUCACUCUCGGUUCCUCGAUCGAUCAAUGGCUCCAAAUAUAUGCAUAUCAGUGCACGUCGCAGCCUAGCAUGCCGUGGCUAGCCGGCUACGGCCUAGGGCGGCCUGGGCUUUGGCCGGCCGCGGCCACUGUGCCGUGCGUGCAUGUGCUCAGUGAGGAUCCGUGCGACGAGCCGACGACCGGCGUCGUACGCUGUCGCGUCAAAAUGAUCGGCGGUGGUGGUGGAUGGAUGGAUGGGGACAAGCUAGGCUUCUAGUAGCAGCAGCUGCUGCUGCCUAGGCCUAGAAGGCUUUUAGCGUGGCAGGCCUGCAGGCUGCACGAGGGGAACCGGAAGCAGGAAUAUCUCGCGGUACGGCGCGGCCACGGGAGGGAGGACGAUCGCGGCGCGGGAACAUGUGGAGUCACCCGUCACGUAGGCAUAGAUCGUACUGAGUGAAAGGAUGAUGUGGAUCGGUGGAGAGGAGAGGAAUCCAAUUUCUUUCCAUCCAUACGUGUUGCGCUGAUCCCUUUCUCUUCUAUUGCGGUGUACUCGACGUUGGUGUCCUUGCCGAACGUCCGUGACUCGUCGCUUUUUGGGGAUAGACGGCGUUAGCGCAAUACGGAACUGCACACCCUGCUACGCUAACUGGAGUGAAAGUAAGCAGGCUGCAUGUAUGGUUAUUAUUUAGCUAACGUUAUUUAGAAAAAAAAAGUAACAUUUAUUUUAAAUUGUUGGAACUUUUGAAUGGUGUGUCCGUUUCAAAUUUCGUUUGAUUUGAGCUCUGCGCGACAAGACGAACAAAACUAGACCCCACUUGAAUAUAUUUUCAAGACUUUUUAUAUUAGUAACAACUUAUGUGUAAAGGUGUGAUCGGAGAUUAUAUAAAGAGUUGCUACCAAUAAUAUACUAAAAUUGUCACAUGGUAUAUGCAUUAGGUGGUAUCACAAAACUAUAUUAAAUUUGAUACACAGUAUGCACAUAAGCUGCAAUCGUAAAAAAUAUAUGAUAAACAUCUUACGUAGUAGCAAAGUAUGUCAUAAGUUGCUAUUAGCAGAAAUAUAUUAAAAUUAUUACAUGGUAUACACAUAAAUUGAUAUCAUAUAAUCUGUAUUACUAUGUAAAGGUGUGAACAACUUAUUUGCAUAGAGUAUAAUAACUUAUCUACUAUAUAUAGUAAUUAAAACAAUGUGGUGACUUAUUUAGAUAGUUUAGUCUUCAUAAUGGUGAGUAAUACGAAUGUAAAAAUUUAUUUGUGUAGCAAUUUAUGUACAUAGUUUGUCGAGAGAUUUACACAUAAGUCAUUCCACCCUUAUAAGUAGUUACCACACACUUAAUAUAAGUUGUCAGUACAUAAAAAAUGUUUCAAAAUAUAUCGAUCGUGAGUCUUGUUCUGUAGAUCUCAACAUAAGAAACAAGCGGAAUUGAAAAUGAUACUUCAUAAGGAAGUUAUCAUAUUUUUUAGAAGCGAAACCAAUAAAAGAAUUGCGAGUCACAGUAGCCCACCUCCAUCCCAUCGGGCAGUUAGACGGCAACAUCAGUCACGCUCUCAUACGAUAGAACGACCCGUCAUUAAAUAAACUUUCCUGGGAUUUGCUUGAUGCUCUUGGUGUCGUGCAACAAUGCAGGCAUAAGAUUUCGGUGAACAGAAGAACUGAAAGAGGGGACUUGUGUAGCUCCAUAGAAAAUAUUAGACCCAUCUUGUAACGGAUCGAGUUUUUGUAGCAUGUCCUUAAAAAAGCUCGCAGCGUUCGCCGCUGCCGCCACCAACAAGGGGCUCCUAUACACCUAGUGGAAGAUGAUCCAUAAGGCUCAGAUCGAUAUGAGGACGGUGGUUCAUUAAAUAUUUUAAUUGAAAAAUAUUGGAUAAAUUUUUUGAACCAACAUUAAAAAAAAAGUUAGAAUCCAACCCAGAAAAAGUUAGGUCUUCCAAUCUUAUAAAAAAAAGUUGAUCCAACCUUUUCGUAAAAAAUGUUCGAUCGGGGAAAAUGUGGGAACCUUUUUUUUUACAGUUGAAACUCAACAUUUGAAAAAAAAAAAGUUGGCUUCCGAUGCCGGCGAGCGGUGGCGGCGCGGCGAGCCCUCGCGGCUGAGGCGCGCGGCAGCCGGCGGCCUGGCGCAGCGAGCCCGCACAGCCGCGGGAGAGGCGCGCGAUGGCGUGGCGGCCGGUGAGCCGGUGCGGGUGCCGGUGCCGCGGCGCGUCGGCUGGAGGCGGUGGCGGCGCGUCCGCGUGGGGGCCGGCGGUGGCGCGGCGGCCGGGGCACGCGCGUGGGGCGGCGGCGCGAGCGGCAGGCACGGGCCGGGGCGCGUGCUGCAGGGGCUGGCGGCGGUGCGGUGGCCGGGCCGGGGGCCGGCAGCCGCGGCUCCGCGCGGGGGGCGGCGGCGGCGGCGGCGCAGGCAUGGGCGCGUGGUGUGGGGGGGGGCUAGGGUUCGAACGGUUGAAGAUGUUUGCACGAAUAUCAAGCAUCAGAAGGUGAUGAAAAAAGUUUCUUCCGGAAUAUGGAUAGGAUUCCCGCGGCGUCCGACCCCGCACUAAAUUGGUCUCAUCCAGCCCAAAAUCACCAAGCCCACACGCGCAACAAAGCCCAGUUUUGUUUCCCACUUUCGCCCAGGUGCACUCGUACGGCCCAUCAUCAUCAAUUACUGUAUGCAUGCCGCGGGCUGCAACCGCACGCAUUCUUGCAGCCCUGGAAAGCCCAACAGGCCUUCAGAACUUAUCGUUGGAGAUCUCUGCAGAACACAACAGCGCAUUCUGUGGCAAGGAAAGAAAGGUCGAACCGGCGAACUAGCGAUGUAGCGAACUGUCGUGCUCGAGCGAAACAUCAACAGCUACUUCUCCUCAACUGGUGUCCGCUGCGACUCCCCCCACAACGUGUCAAGCCCUGCACCUCCACCCAAUUGCCACCCGCGUACGCAAGUGUUGCCUGCUGCUCCCUAAUCCUCGCAUAUACUUUUAGAGCAAUCCUCCCCGUGCGCCACGAGGAUUAUUCAAUCGAUCGUGGGGUCCGACCGACCCACUGUUCCGACCAAACAAUCGAGCCUGAGCCUAGCUAGUAGCCGGCGGAGGUCCACGGGCAUGCGUCGGCGAACAGCCGAACAGAGCCACGGGGGCUACGCUACGACGAUGGGGCACCGAGCAGCGGUCGCUCUCGAUGCGCCAGCUGUCCCCGUCCAGUAGCAGCAUCCAUCAUCGCUCGCAUGUUUUGCACGAACUGGAUUGACGUGGGCCAGGCGGAUGUGUCCCGCGUCCGCCCGCUCGUCCAGCCAGGUGUCGCCGGCGCAUCGACGGGGGCCGACGGGAGGCGCCGGCGUGGAUAGGGCUGUCGGAGAGCGACGACGACGACGACGGCGCCAGCCAGCUUCUUUUACCUCGUUAUUAACGUUACGGCCGUCGGUUAAACUGGAGGCCAAGCGGCACGGCAUGGUGAUGAGCUGCCUCCUGCGGGUUGCGAUCGGGAUCGCCCACGGGCGGGCCACAGCCGGUCAGCCGCGGGGCGUAGCAGGCAGCCAGGCACAGGCACAGGCAGGUCCCUGUGAUCUGAUCGUGCUCCAGCGCCACUUUUUCCCCAUGGAAGCCAGCAUCAAGGCAUCUCCCCUUGACAGCUAACGACUCCCCGCGCCGCGCCAACCGGAGCAGAUCAGAUACGCGCCCGGCGUGGGCCCCCACCCGGCCCGUUCCCUGGCGGACAUGCGAGGUGGGCGAGAAAAGGACAAACUCAGAUUCUGAUCUCAUCCGCAUCCGCGCCCUCAGGCCUCAGCCACUCUCCCCGCCCCGCAUGGCCCACCCGACCCAAUCACCCACCCCCGGGCCGGGCCCAGCGCGCCCAAUGGCGGGGCCCACGAACCCAAUCUCCCUCCACUCUGCGCGCGCGCGCGCACAGUGCCAUUCUGCCCGCAGUCCAGUUCGGGCACGGGCGCGCGCGAUGCGUUUACCUGCCUGCCGGCAGGCUUGAGUGCUGGAUGGACUCGCUUGCUGCUGCUGGUUGGGUCAGGUAGGCAGGCAGCCCGGGCACAGGAGUGUACCUUUGCGUCUUCUGGGAUUCGGGGCAUCAGAGCAUGGGACGGUACAUUGGUCGGGGUCACGAGCUGCCCCGCUUCUUUUACCCCACUGAUUUUCUUUUUUAUUUUAUAACACAAUUGCAGAAACUUUACACUGAUUUUUUACCCAUUCGCAGGGCAUUCUUACUGCCCGCUUGGCCUUGAAAAUGCACGGUACUAGCUUCGUUCUUCUUUUCGAGAGACGUACUGGUAGCUUCGUUCUAGGAUUUGUUGCGACCGAAUGUCGUCCAGCCGGAGUUCAGCUGAUAGCGAGGUCUCUUCAGAUGAAGCAGCACGCGCGGCGUUAAUCUAUGGGAGGUUAACGUAAGCUAAUGGCGUUGAUGGAGACAAAUCCAUUUAACAGCCGCAGCUCUUGUUGACCUUUUCUGGUUGGUCGUAUUCACAUACACACAUGCGCCUGCUUUUGAAAGGUCUCAAGUAAUUGUUUGGAGGACAAACGAAUACUACAUGAGAUCAAAGAAAUAUGGCGCCACGAGGAUCACGUACCACUUAGGCAUCACGCAAUCGAAAAAUAGGAAAAAGGAAUCAAAGUAUCAGAACAAGCUUCGUUAAUUGAACUGGGUAGCAAACUUGUAAAGGAAAUGUAGUAAUGGCUUUGUUACUGCGUAUAAUUACAGUUAUUGCAAGCCCAUAAGAAAAACCUUGAAAUUUAGUCAACAAAAUAAUGCCGAGAUAAAAGGGACACGAAGGUCGGUUACACAAACACGAAGAGGCUGAUAGUAGAUCUGCAACUUGUUGGUUCUGUACCUGUGGGUCAUGCCAUUUGCAAGCAUGGCUUGAUCCUGUCAUUACUCAUUACCGAACCAGGCCCAUCCGAUGCAACUGGGUGGAUCUACUGUCUCUUUGCUAGGACCUCCAGCAAACAAUCGCCCUGAUGGGGAGAUUUUGCCUCUUUUGGCUGCGCAUGGUUCUCUAAUUAAAAAAAGGCCUCCACAAGUGCCUCCAUGCUGAUAUAGGAUAUUCCAGAACAGCUUCCAGGGUUUCUGAACUGGGACAAUUCAGGGAUCGAUUCAGCAAUCCGAUGCCCCUACCAAACCUUUUCCAUCUUUAGCAAAGAAAAAAAAAGGGGAUAGAUAAAAAAAGAUUGGCACAUGCAUUUAACUGGUUGAUUACUGGCAAAUCUCAUGAUAAUUCGUGGACGGACGGGUAAUGAUUGCCUGCAAACACUAUAGAUGUACUAGUAGUACAGUAGAUCCGAAGCGCGGCGGCGUCAGGCGGAUCAGAUGCCCGGCGGGGGCCGCCCGAGAUGCCGGUAGCUCUCGUCGCCAGCCGUCGGAUAGAAAUUCCCUUCCCCCCGCUCCCCUGACGCGACGAGCGAAAAGGCGCCGGGCCGGCCGGAUCGGUAGCUUUUGGCGGCACAUUCCCCUGGCGCCCGGAUCAGCGAGCUGGCCACAAGGCGCAGCGCAGGGGCACCUGUUCAACGCCAGCAGCGAGAUGGCGAGAUGCCGCGCUGCGCUCAGCUGCUGCUGCCGAGCUUCAGAGCCUGCGCGUCGCUAGAUCCUAGCUUUUGUCCUCGCUUCUGCCCGCUGCGGGUGCCUUUUCCUCCGCCAGAACUGGGUAGCAAACUGGCUGGCAGGCUGGGGGCCUCGUCGUCUCUGCAGCGCGCUCAGGUAGAGCAAGCACAUGAGCACAGCGGGGGCGGCCGGGGCAGGGGCAGCGCGUGCGAGAAAAGCAGGCAAAGUUGGAUUGGGUGAAUAGAAAUACGCAAAGUACCAAAUGGCCUUUUCGUUGUUGCCCCGCCCCCGGGCCAUAAGGCAGCCCUCAUUUGCUUCGCUCGUUUCGAUCCUGGAUGGCUGGAUCAUGCUGCUGCCAGGGCGCAUUUCAUUUUUCUUCUUAGAGUUUUUCUUAUUGUCGUGGCGUAGCAGUAACUGUAAUGAAUGGUACAGUAUAUGCUUGCUUGGCUACUGCCAGGGAGGGUUACGUUACAUGCACAGGUGUGUGCCACCUCCUUUCGAAGUAAGUAACUGAUUGCACUACUAGUAUUUGGCUAUUUGCUUGCUUGGCUAGCUAGUGAAAAGACGCAUUUCAAUUCUUAUAAAAAAAGAAAGGAAAUUGUUUUUUUUCCUUCAGCAGCCAUGGACAUGUGGAUGGCCGGUAUCUAAGAUCCGUUUUGGAACGUUCCUGGUGUUCAGCGCAGUCAGUUCCUCUCGUUUUCUUGGAGCGGCUCGUCGUUGGUCGCGCGCAGCGGUCAGUUUCAUCAUGCCGAACGAAGACCACAAGCGGCCAGCCAGAAAGACUAACGACGGAAAUGUACUCGUGUCGUGUCUCCCUAACCAAUUUUGUGCACCCGAGUUAUUGCCCGAGUUCCGUGCCUACAGUAACAGUAACGCCAUCAUCGUCAUCACCAUCAGUGCUGCUGUUGCUGCUGCUUGCAUGGAACAGCGCGCGACUCAUGCUGGUUUGAACGCAUCAGACCUCUCGCCAUGGAUCACCGCACCAGCUCGUGCAAGCUCAGAUCAGAUCAGGUCUCCGUCACCUGAACAAAAUCCACACACCUCGCUGUCGCCCCCGCCGAGUUCGGGGCUCGGCUGCAUAGAUUUCUGUCAACGAAGCGCAGCGCGCCCCCUGGUCGCUCUCGUGGUCACAUCGCAUAAAUGCGUCGUCAUACCAACACGCCAAUGGCCUUGGCUCCGAUUCUCUCUUCCCAAGCAAGCUAGCCAGCCUAGUGAAGAGGAGUAGCGGGGGAGGGGACUCUGAUCCUGAUGACCUGAUAUCCUUGGACUCGUCAACGCGGGCCUGCAGGUGCGGCCAGGGGUGAGGUGGGCAUUGCCGUAGAGCCUAUGACUACUUGACCAGUGCGAGCGCAAAUAAAAUCUCCUCCUCAGACCUCAGAUCAGAUCGGAUGGGCAGCAGACCAGCAUAAUCUGUUGGAAGGGAAGUGCUGGAAAUAACAUAACAAAUUUGCAGGGCCAACCACUGGUGAUAAACUAAUCCAGAUUUGGAUGGGCACAUCAGACAUCAGGCUCUGUCUAGUUACGCAAUCAAAAGAUCAGGAGGGGAUGAACUCUCUUUCUUAACAGCGACAUCUGUUAGUGGAGGGGAAAAGAAAACAGGUGCGUGAUGCAGAGCAUGAAGUGAAGAUUUUUGACUUGAACAGAGCCGGAGGAGGACAAUGUCAGUAUACGAGAACAUAAGCACUCACUGUACUAGCAUGAUUCAAGAACAUAAGCAUCCACUGUGCUAGCAUGAUUCAAGGGUCUUUUUCUCAGUGCUACAAAGAAGCUCUUUUUAAGUUGCGCAGAUAUACAAAUGAUUGAUCGCUACAAUUCGCUACAACAAACUCCAAUUUGAGCUGCUCCAAUGUUCUCGGGGUGGCGGAAGCAGAAUGUGACAACAGUAUUGCAACCCAUGCUACACACAUAUAUAUAUCAUAUACUCCACCUCCAUCAAUGGAGGUGCAAGGAAGAAAAAUGACAGAGCAGAUUAAGCUCUGAAUCUCUAUUUUGGUGGUCCUCGCAGACGAUUUUGACUCCCACAGCAAGAUCGAGUUUUAUCAUACCGGUAUAAUCCUCAAACUUAUUCAUCUUCAGGGUGUGCCUCCUUGGGAUUGGUUAUUCAACCCUGCCUAUAUCCAUAUGGAACUCUAGUAAUGCACAAUGGUUGCAUCACUUCUUUGAGGGGCGUCGCUGCUCCGAAGCAAUGGAUGUUGCAUCACUCAAGAACAGAGCAAUUCGACCAUGGAUCCUCGGCGCAAUCGCAAGGAUUGAGAUGUUCUUCGAUGGCGAAGGCGAGAAAGUUCUCAAUUGCAGGUAGACACAAUUCUGUUGUACCCUCUAAAUAUCAUCUCUAAGGCUAACUUUAUGUCAUCAGCAACAAGAACAAUGGAAGGGGGAGAACAUGACAAACAGCAGCACUACACGAACAUCAACAGCAACAAUGGUGGGGGCGACGGGAUGCUACGAGGAAGGAACACAUGGAUCAUGGAUGGAUAUGGAUUGCUAAUUCCCAAGAAUUCUUGGACUCUAUGAGAUGUGGUUGAGCCUUGCUCGAUUUCUAUGCCGAUCUGUGGGAAGCAGCGGCGGUUGCGCAGCAGAGGGGGAACAGGAAGCGAACGAAUUUUAUGUACCCGAGGGCGGAGGCGGCCGCCCGCAGUCCGAUGCCCGUCGCCGUCGGACCCCGGCGGCCUCAAUGGUCCCCGGACGUCGGGAACAGCGUCAGCUCGCGGCGGCCGCUGCCGCCGCCGCCGCCUCGGGAUCCGAGGUCCAUCUCGUCGCCGAAGGGGGCGGGCGCCAUCAUCCCCAUCCCGGCGCCGGCGCCGACCAUGCGGUGGUGGUGCAUCCCGGGCGGGCCGACGGGCGGCGCGCCGGCGCGGCUGAAGAAGCUGUGGUCGAAGCUGGCGCCCGCGGCGCCGUAGGGGCCGAGCGGGCGGGCGGCGGGGUGUUGGAAGUGUCCGAUCUGCGGCGCGUGUUGGUGGUGGUGGUGGUGGUGCGUGGCGCCCAUGGGGGCGAAGGGCGAGUACUGGUCCGCGCCGGCGGGCGCGCGGUGGCCGGGCGGGAGGAAAGGGACGGGCCCCGUAGCGAAGAGGUGCUCGGUGGCGGCGUCGGUGCCGGAGCCCGAGGAGUGGCUUCCCCCCGCGCCCCCGCCCCCUCCGCCGCCCCCGCCGCCGCCGCCGCCGAGCCCCUGCAUGCGCUUGAGGUAGAGGCGGUACUUCUGGAGGUGGGAGGCGACGUUCUCGCGCGUGAGGCCGUCGACGCUCAUCAGCUGCAUUAUGGUCUUGGGCACAGCGUUCUUGAUGCCGAGGUGCGCGACGGCGUCGACGAAGCGCUUGUGCAGCUGCGGCGUCCAGACGAGGCGCGGCCGCUUGAGCGUCCGCGCCGGCUCGUCGCCGGCGCCGCCCCCGCCCCCGCCGCUGGAGCCCGCGGCCGACGACGCGCCGCCGCCGUUCAUGUCCGGCCCGCCCGCGCCGCCGCCGCCGCUGCCGCCGGCGCCUCCACCCCCGCCGCCGCCGCCGCCCGCGCCGCCGCCGCCGUGCGUCGGGAUGUCGAAGGCUACGGCGAGAUCGGGGGUGAUGAGCGUCUGCGAGAGCGGCAUCAGCUCGUCCGGCCGCGGCAGCUGCUCCUCGCAGCGCGCGAACCAGCUGGGCUCCUCCUCCCUCAUGGCCGCGGCUCCUCCCCUGCUCUGCUCACCUCGCAGAGCAAUUCUUGCAGCUCACUCCACUCGUCGUCGGGGCGGCGGCGGCGACAGCAGCAGCACCAGUAGACUCGACUCCACUCCAGCGGAAGGAAGGAAGCGACCGAGGAGGGAGGGAGGGAGUAGAGGAAGGAGGGGUUACUUCGAGGUGGAUCUCUCUUCUUCUAAGCUUUCCCACCCUUCUUCCUCUCUCUCUCUCUUCUUGUGUGUGUGUUUGGGCCUUUUCUCACCCCCUGCUGCUGCUACUGCUGCUGUGCCAUGAUGAUAUCCUCCCCGCCCUCUUUCUCUCUCUAUCUUUCUUUCUCUAGCUGCUGGUGCCGCAGCUCGGCUGCCGAUGAUGAGCGAGGGAGAAUCUGGCGAGUGAGUUUUGGGGGUGGUGCGCUGCGCUGGACUAGUUUAAUUAGCGGGGCUGCCCCGCCCGCCCGACCCCUAAAGCUAUUUUUGUGCCAUCUUUGGUUCCUUUGUUUGCUCGUUCGCUUGUUGUCUUCCCCUAAAGCUAAUCAUCCUCUUCUCUCUAUCCCGUGAGAGGAAGUGAAAAAAAAGGAAAUCCAAGGAACAUUUUCCUAAAACUCCGGAGCCGUAGCAAUUUCGCAGGAAGGAAACAGUUCUUGUAUGGCCUAACCAACGCGGUUAAGGUGACCCGGCCAGGAGCACGAAAAAUAUGGGAUGGAUUGCUACUAGAUUGAUUGGUCGCGGUAUAAAGCGAGAUGGGGCCUGGAGCAGCUGCUGCUGCGGGGGAGGGGGUUGGGGUGGAUUACGGCCGGGCGGAGGGUGGGAUCCAGUGGAGUGAGAUGAGAAUCAGGCGACGACGAUGAUGAUAUCUUAGCUGGAGUUUGGUUUGUCCUCAUGUGGGCAUGUCGCGGCGGAUCACACCUCCUCCUACCUUUUUUUUCUCCUCUCACUCACACCCUCCCUCUCUCUAGAAUAGAACAAACCGGGGAGGAAUCUUGUUUGUUUGGGCUGCUGCUUGCUGCUCGUGUUGGGUUGGUUGGGUUCCGUUUCGCUCGCCGUCGUGUAUCUCCGAGGUGGAUAUCGCCGCACCGAUGGAUCGUGGAUCUGGCAAGCGUGCUGCGUGUUCCGGCCAUUAAUGCGCGUACGGACGCCGGGAUUUGGUUAAGCUGAAUCUGAUGGAGCGGUACUGCUACCACUAAAAUCCACUAAAAUCCAAAUCCGAAGAGUGGAGGGAGAGAGAAAGAGACGGUCUGAUUUGCCUAACCUACCUAGCUAGCACUUGGGUGGAACAGAGGUAUUCCAUAGAAACUUUUGUAGUACACUCCAUGUCCCAAAUUACUAUUCAUUUUAGUUUUAGCUUUUUAAGAUACAUAGAUUUUAUUAUUCAUGUAAUUGUAUGCUAUGUUUAGAUACGUAGCAAAAGAUAUGUAUUUAGAAAAAUCAAAAUGAAUAAUAAUUUAGGACGAAAGGAGUACUACUAGUACAAUUAUCCUGGAAAGUAAAGUCGGGCACUGUGGUUUAAACAAUGAAUCAAGUCGUGCGUUCACCAAAAAUCAUGCAACUCGUAAGGAUCGUUUUAGAAAGAUGGCGAAAAAAAGGAGAUGCAACAGCUUUCCCUGGCUUUUGUUGUGGUAGUAAUAUGGUGUACAAGUGGAUAAAUAUGGGAAAGAAGAAGGAAAGAAGGGGAGUGAAUAAUUGAGAUAGCGAGGGAAUUCGGUUGCCUUUUUUGUUUGCAUGGCAUUUAUGCUUUUGGGAAACGGGUUCUCUGCUUUCGUUGGACUCCUAUUAAUGCCGGUGAUGACGUGCUUGCGGUCACUGGUUGAGUAUCAACAAAAUAGGAAGAAUUAAGUAUCCGUUGGAGGACCAGAUCGGUGCUGGCACAAUUAACACAUCGUGGUGUUAUCGCAUUACUAAGGUUAAGAGAAGGAUUAGUUUUAAAGAUUUAAUGUUCCUCGCUAAAAAAAAGGUUUUCAAGAUUUAGUGAGGGAUAUGAGUUUGGUUCGAUACUAAUUCGGGAGAAGCCUCGACCGCUUCAUUUAUGAAAUGAGGCACCAAUAAAAUGUUUGUUAAACGAUCAUGAAGAAUAAAAAGUUAUAGUCGUACAUGUUGCAUAUAUAGACACCUAAGACAUCCGUGAAAUUCUGGAUCAGCGAUCUAGUCGUUGGAGUGUCAAUGGCAUGGAAUCCUAUAGUGAUAUGACACGGUUGUGACGGCGCCUCUUGAAGUGAGAUAGAUGGAGUGUACGUGCUGGUAAUUAGAACAUAUCCAAGAUGCUAUAAGCAUUAAGUAGUGUAUAUUGAGGUAGGAAAAAGCAGUGUAUAACGGGUUUACUAUAUGUGGAUUCAUGGAAAUUCAAGAUACAUGACAGGGGAUGGUAUCGAAGCAAUAAUGGUGCCAUAAAAACACAAAAAAUAUGAGCAAGGCAAGUGAUAGAUUGAUCCAACAAUGGAGUGUUGGAAUGAAGAGCAACCGGAAGAAGUUAACAACAGGUACAAGCAACAUGGUUUAAAUAGAUUGAAGAUGGGGAUGUUGAUUCUAAAGCAGGGGAAGCGACACCGCCAUUGCAUAUUGGGUAGGUGUAGGAUGUCAACUUUACGAAAAAGCUAUAUUACACUUGAGUAUUUUUUUCAUUUUCUCACCUAAAUUUUCCACCUCCUCACCUCGUAACUCUUUAUAUAUUUUGUGAAAUCUAUCCUUGUCUCCUCUCUUAUUGUCUCCUUUAUUCCCUUUGAGAUCCAACAUGUCUUCUCUAUCUUCAAUUCAAUGGCAAAUUUUGGUCUUUUAGGAUUAUAGAGUUAGGGGUUUUCGAGGAUUUAGAUACAGGACCUGGGAAAAGUUAGCCCAAUGAGGUGGGCUUAGGUGGGAGUGCGGGACCCAGUUGCCACGAUGGACGGAGCAUGGUCGGCGUGUGAGGUUAGGGUGAGGUCAUGAAAACAAGAGUGUCUAGCAGAACGGUUGGCUUCUGUCGCGGAUCGAGCAUCAAGAGCUAUCCUACAUAAAUCUAGGGACCCAACAAAAGGUUUGGACAAUCCUAAAUAUAGGGCUGGACACCGAGACACAUCUGACAUGGAGACUAUGGUGCAGGACGGCAUAGUCUACAUGGAGAGACAGAAACUAGUUGAGGAUUAGAAAAGUACUCGUAGAAAUAAGAGUAGAACUGGUCUAGUCGAAUCCGACUAGUAUUCUUAUAACCAACCGACCUGUAACCCUGCCCUUGGCAAUAUAAGGCGAGGUAGGGACCCCCUCCAAAGCAAUUCAAUCCAACCAACACACAAGACGUAGGGUAUUACGCUAUUUAGCAGCCCGAACCUGUCUAAAUCAUGUGUCUGCAUUUAUCUUCGAGUUCCUGAUCUCGACAAGCCCCACUAACCAAAACACUACUUUGGGUACCCCCUUGGUAAGUUGCCGGGUUUAAACACCGAUAGCUGGCGCGUCAGGUAGGGGCUCUCGCCGAGAAUCCACUGGCGAACUCGAUGGCACAAGUCAUCACCAAGCCAAUCUUCGCGUUUGAAGCAGGCGUGAUGUUCGUCUUCGGCUCCUUGGUUUGCAUCGCAGACGGUGCUGGAAAUUUUUGUCGCCACAUUGCGUCAGCCCCGGAGAAGAAGAAGCAAACCAUGAAGCUCCAACGCUAAGCUUUGGAGGAUCUCGUCGAGAAUUUCGUCGAAUGUUCAAAUUCUAACCUAGUCAGAGGCUGGGGGAUGAGUUCGAGUACGACUCGACUUCUUCCGCCGGUCGGAUUGACCUACAUGAGCCAGUGCAUAAGCCAUCGUGCAAGUCGGAUUACCGCCAGAGUCGAUUCCCGUUCGGACUCCACAACACGACCACUAGUUAUCACGCUGCCCUAUCCAGAUCACAAUCUGAAACGGAUACGAUCGAGGACUUCAAUUACUGCUCGGACCCGGAUGAGGAAACUUCUUUGUUAGGUCCGCAGUAGGAUCUGGUAAUCACAUCAACUCCUCAAGGCAGAUUCAUCUACUGGCCCAACAUGAAGCCACCCGUUCUUGCCAAAAAUGACGAUUCACGCCUCAUUACUUACCUUGACACUCUCCCGUACCAAGAGGGAACUCCUCUGUCGCCCAUCUACGAGGAAGGCAACACCACGAAUGUCAUCACCUCAAGCUCGGGAAGCUAUUCCCCAGAACGAGAACUCUUUGAUCUCAUUACUGGAUAAGAGGAUGAAAACGAAGAGCAACGGGAUAGAAACUCGCAACAUGAGCGUCACCCAGAUGACGUCUCGUAGGAUGAGCUCACCGCCAACAUUGUCGGAGAAGAGACUGAAGCUCAAAGAACUCAAUGACGAGCAAGGAACGCCACAAGAGCAGAACGUCGCCGCCUUGCAGCAGACCUACCAAUCAUGAACUUGGAUAACACCUUUGAAGCAAUUCAAACGCUUCGCCAUCGUACUUCCCUUGCCACCAUCGCGUCUAUUGUCUCAUCACCCGCGCGAUGCCGCAGAAUAAGUACACUAGGCAGUUGGCUGAACUAGCAGAAUGCGCGUACAAACAAUUCGAUUAGCAAAAUCCAAUACAGUCAGUCCAAUGCACCGCAUCCCAACGAACUCUUUGUUCUAUGGGAUAGUCCCGGGCAACACGGUUGUACCCCUCGGAUAGGUGGUUUUGCCAGUUACCUUUGGAACCAAAUAACACUAUCGGACAAGAUGUAUCCGGCUCGAGGUAGCGGAUUUCAAAACAUCAUACCACGCCAUCCUCGGAAGACUAGCAUUAGCCAAAUUCAUGGCCAUCCUGCACUACGUGUACUUAGUACUCAAGAUGCCAGGACCCAAGGAGGUACUCUCCCUGUGCGGAGACUUGAAGAAGUCGUAUGACUGCGACACAUAAGCCGUGGAGCUAGCAGCAACUACCCAAGUACCGAACUCAAUGAUGCAAGUCUUCGCCGCAUCCAAUAAACUGUCCCCAUUAGAACUCGAGAUUCCAGAAAAAAGUCGAGGGCAACCAAGGUCAAGCCGGCAAGUGAAAUAGACAUCAAAGCCAUUGACCUUGAAACUGAUGAUAGCUCCAAAACAGCCCUGAUUGGCACAGAGUUAGAUCCUAAAUAGGAAAGCGCGCUCGUUAGCUUCCUCCGGGCCAAUUGAGACAUCUUCGCGUGGAAACCAGCGUACACGCCGAGGGUGCCCAGGAAGUUGAUCGAGCACUCACUCAGCAUGAAUCCAAAAGCUACACCAAAAAGACAACGCCUACGAUGAUUCACCCAAGACAGAAGGGACCAUCAAGAAAGAGCUGGCCAAACUACUCACGGCGGGCUUCAUAAAAGAAGUCUAUCAUCCAGAGUGGCUCACCAAUCCCGUCCUGGUGCGAAAGAAAAAUAACAAUGAGUGGAGGAUGUGUGUCGACUACACAGCCCUCAACAAGCACUAUCCAAAGGAUCCCUUCAGGCUCCCUAGGAUCGAUCAAGUCAUCGAAUCCACAGCUAGAUGCAUCCUCCUCUGUUUCCUCGACUGCUACUCAGGUACCACCAGAUAGCUCUCAAGGAAGAAGACCAUAUCAAAACCGCAUUCAUAACCCCAUACGGAGCUUUUUGCUACACAACAGGUUGAAGAACACAUGCGCCACUUAUCAACGGGCAAUCCAAGUGUGCUUCAAGAAGUAGCUACACCGCAAUGUGGAGGCGUACGUGGACAACGUGGCCGUAAAAAUCAGAAAUCCCGAUGACCUGAUUGCGGAUCUAGGAGAAACCAGAAAUCCCGACGACCUCAUUGUAAGAGAUGAUAGUAGGGGUGUGGGGCAAGCAAAUAUGCAUCAGCUGGGUAAUGGAGUUGAGGGAAGAAGGCUAGAGGAUAUAGGAUGAAGAUGAGUCGUUGAUAAGAGAUAAACGCUUCGAAUUUCAAGUGUUGUACGUGACUAAGGUCCCGUUUGUUUGAGAUUAUAAUCCACCUAGAUUAUAUAAGUUGGAUUAUGGGUCAUGGGUACUAUGAUAAAAGAUUACUUUGGAACCACUUGGGACCACAAAUAAUCUAAAAUAAGCUAGCUAUGGGUAGCUUAUUUCAGAUUAUUUGUGGUCCUGGAGAUGGGUAGCUUAUUUCAGAUUAUUUGUGGUCCUGGAGUGGUCCUAUAAUGAUUUUUUACCUUACUAUCCUUGAACCAUAAUCCAGCUUAUAUAUUCCAUGAGGGAAAUAAAUAGGCCCUAAAGUGCUUGAGUAAGUUGUUGACGGACUCUAAAUCCCAAGUGCUUGAGUAAGUUGUUGACGGACUCUAAAUCCAAGGGGCUUUUGUACGUUAUCGAAAUGUGCUAAAAGAUUGUCAAAAUUGUAAAUACGGAAUUGGUUCAUCAUGUGCCAAAAGUACCUAUGGACUAAUUUUUGUUACAUUGAAGUUACCACACAAUACAAUUAGCAGUACCUCAACCCAUAACAUUUAACGUUGGUUAUUGAACUAAUUAAUCAAUGUCAAAUAAAAUGGAAUGAAGGUAGUAGCACUUUAAAUAUGUUAAAUAUGAGACAAAAUGGUUGUUGCUAUACCUGUGGACUAUUAUACCUUUUGAGUUAUCUGAAUAUCCAUCCAGCAGUGAAGAUCUUUUGCAUUUUUAAUAUGAAAGGAGUCCGUCUGGUUUUCAUGUCGUGCAUCGCCUAUAGCUUUCUCGCCGAACCCUGCAACAGAUGCUCAUAAUUCCCUCGAAAAAACGGACGUAGAUAAUUCACAAACACGGGAAUGAUGACAUAUGGCGUCCGUGACCCUGUGCUCCCAAGUAGGCAAGUACACUACCACAAGCACACAGUUGAGACGUCACCCGCCGAGAUCAUCCUCCGAAUACGUGCUCCGCCAAAUCUCAGCUCGUUCUUUCUUCAAUUCUUCCUGGGAGUAGUACCACGGCACGGUAGCCCAUAGAAUAUCCAGGCCACACCUUUUCCUAGUCCCCGUAGUAGGCGCAAAGCCCCUCCCCCUUUUUUCCCCAGCCCUACGCCACUCCUUUUCACAAAAACGUUGGCCCUGGUGUAAAAAGAUGGCCGUCCGGCCGGCCGGCCGGCAGGCAUGCUCUCGCGCGCGGAAAAGGAAGAGGGCGCAGGCGCGCAGCAACCAAAUCAGCUCCCAAUCAUCUCGCGCCUCGCCUGCUGGGGGAACCGAAAACAUGGUGUGGAUUCGAAGGCUAAAUCCCUUGAUCCUUGUCCUUGGGGGCCGAGAGAUCGCCGUGGAAAAAAGCCGGGGGGAACGGGGCCGGGCGUGUGAUCUCGCCUGAUCGGAUCAACGGCGUUUGCGUGUGCUUGUGCUGCCCAGUUCACGCUCCACUCUUGUGCACUUGUGCUAGCUAGUCGCCGGGUGCCCUACCGAUCCAUCACCGAAAGCGGAGCACGCGUUAGGACCCCAAGUACAAAGCACGCGAACGCUAAUGCCGCACACCCAGUGACCUCAGAUUGGCUUUUCUUGCUACGUGAAAAGGACUGCAUGUACUAGCAUGUAGGAGUAUGCCGAUGCCAUGCGCAUUGGUCACCAGCUUGUGGGUCUAGGAUGGUUUUGUUCCCUUUUGGGCUCCUUUAAGGCACUCCCUUGAUCUUAUCUUGAAAGGUAAGAGGUCUAAAUAGAUCCUACACAUUGAUUAACAAUAUUUGCAAUUUCCAUCUAUAUGAGCACUAGCAGCUAAAAAGAAAGUAGCAAUGCACAUAGUUAACCUUCCGGAAUAAUGUGUGCAUUGCAUGCAGCCAAGGAAAUCAAGGGGGUCACUUACCAAAGAGAUGGAUGAUACUCCCUCCUUUUGAAAUUAUAAAUUAAAGUUUAUUUCUAGAGUAGAAGACGACUUUGAUCAAUGAUUUUUCCAUUAAUAAAUAAUUUUCUGAUACAAAGUUUAUGUAAUUAGAUUUACAUCUAAAAAUACUUUCUUACGAGUAUAUUUUUAUCACAUAAAUAAAAUAAUGAUAGAGUAAUUGUCGGUCAAAGUCUUUGCCAUAUCGAAAUGAAUUACGCUUGUAAAAAAACUAGGAAGUUUACUAGGAAGUUUUUUUUGAAUUGGAAGAUCAAUCGAUUCGUAUCUAGACUUUAUAUACAAAACAUAAAUAUGGAGCGUAUGGAGCAUGGACGGAAGCGAACAGACCCAAUCUGCACGAAAGACCGUACGUGUAGCAUUGCUUAUCCGUUCCGUAUGAAUGUCUGAUCUAGGACAAUAGUGGCACCAAUUAUAUGUUUCCGAAUGAAGCUGUGCUAUCUCAUCCUCACCAUCGAACGAAGAUGUCCUCACCGGAAUAAGUGAAUGGACGGAAGGACGGACACGACCGCCAUUGGAAUGUUGCUGCUUCCGCAAGUGGCAUGGCGUUUGAGCUUUCUCAGGAAGUCGGGAGCCACUUGAACACCUGAUGGGUCGACGACGACGGGGACGUCGAGGGACACGUGGACGACCCGCAGGCGCCGGGGCUCGGAUAAGAGUGCCGGAUGAUGGAGAGCAUUAGCUAGCGGUCUAGCACUGGGCACUGGCCCGGACAGCAAGAUGACGACGCCUCAGCGUCUUGUGCGUGGGACCCGCCUGUCAAUCUCUGCCCUGUUCGUUUCUGGAUAUCAGCAACGGCUGCAUUUUCGGUGACCCCCCGGGAAUCUCAUAGUUGCGUGUAUCGUUCUGUCAAUCACAACUUCGAUAAAGAGAGAGAGGUUGAGCUAAUCGUAUAGAGUAGAAUAGUGAAUUCCAUUUAGGAAAAGACACAACGAAUUUUCAGCGAAGAAAAGAGCUAGCAGAGUCAAAGCGAUCCAAUAUGUUCCGGAUUCAAAGCUAGAGUGUCAAAAUCCUAGAGAAUUAGUAUAAGAGCCUUAAGUUUCAGCAAUGAUUGUCGAAUUAACAAUCUUUUCUCCCCCACAUAUGUAGCACAUCAUGGCCUAAAAACAAUUUCGGUCUACGGCGAAUCUCUAUCGCCUUGGAUUAAACAAUCCAUGACGAUGCUAGUCCUUCUUCCUCUCGUAUCCCAAACUAAAUUUUUAAAACCACAGGUCAUUGUUCCUUUUAUUCCUUUUUCUAUCACCAAAGUCAUUGAUCCUUCGUUCCUCCUUAUCAUUUCCACCUAAUGAACUAGUAUAAUUUUAGGCACACAUCAACCAAGAUUUGCUAUUUCUAAAACCCUGCAGGUACGGCGGUGUUCAUGUUCGGAAAUGCGAUGGUAGAUCGAUGAACAAAUGAUAUGGCAUGACAUAUAGCUUGGCUUUGGCACUAGCAAUAAACAAGCUGGGAGCUGGAAGAUUUGGAGGUAUCAACUGGGCUGGAGAUUGCAUAGUGACAGCGAUUUUUGUCCGGGGAUAGCGACCUUCAGAUUCUUUCCAUUUUAUUCGCUGAGAAGGACAGGACGGUUUGACACCACAGACUUGUUCGUUUGGCUGCUCGUACAAGGUAUUGAUGUGGCACAACUAAAUCCUCUAACCCUCUCCAAACCUCUGAUCAGUUCUGCUGUCUGAACAUGGUUGCAGUUAAAGAACUUUCAGACUGGACAUGCUAAUUCAGGCUGAUUCCUGCUUUGUUCGAAUUGAAUUGUCAAAACUAAAAGCAAGCGUGGUAGUUUAUAAUUUUCUGGUCCAGCUUUUAGCAGUGGCUAACCUUGGAUUCUUGCCAUUUGAUGGAGGGCCCAGAUCAGAGACAGUAGCACUAGUUAGUAGUCAGUAGAUGCCUGUAUAAAAAUUAAAAUUCUGUCUGCAUGCUCUCUGAUAGUAAGUAAUUGGUGGGCACAGCAUCUGGAGAUUCGUCUAGAGAAUCCAACUCGCAAAAAGCUUUGGCAAAAUUCCCCGGAGUUAGGCCCAAAGUUUCACUUUCACGCACAAUCGAGCCUAGGUCCAGUCAAAGUAAACUGCAGCUUUCACUUGAGUUCUUGCAGCGAAUAAACAAGUGCAGACAUGCUUGCUUUGCGACGUGAAAAAGUGACAUUCCCUUGGUAACCCCUUGUAGUUUAAUCCAAAGGCUGGUGGCAUCACUCAGCUCUCAUCUCUCUAGAUGAGAACAGGAUAAAAAGUUGACUGGAAGCUAAGCAUUGCCUAGCCAUCAGGUUAAGCUAGCCACGCUCAGCCUGCGUGUUUGGCUGGCCUUUGUUUAAUAUUACUGCUGGUCACCAUCGUCGCAAGCGGCUGAAAGCGCUUUCAUGGACUGGGGGACAGGCGUGCUUCGCUGAUGCUCAGUUUCCUCACACUUCCAAACAGUGGUGGUUAGGAUCGAGUAAUAGUGAACAGUGACAGCUGACAGAAUUUAGUGCCCAAUUAAAGUCGUCAUCUUCAGUUUCAAUUUUGGUAUUCCUGGCACCGAUUCCAUGCUAUCAUCACUUACAGGAUAAACGUAAGGGUAAAACUCAGAAUACUAAAUCUACUGCUGUGAAUUCAGGAUACCUGCGUUUCUGGAAGAAAAUUUUCAGGAUAUCUGAACCACAAAGGUAGAUUGAGGCUAUGUAAAUCUUCAGAGAUUGAGGCACUUUCUGUAGAGAGGUGGCCAAAUCUGUGAAUUGUGAUGUAGCACAUAGAUGGAACUGGGACCCCAGAUGUUCAUUAGCCAAAGGACUAGCUAGUUGACAUUUGACAACUGACAAGAUUGGGGAUGUUUUCUGAGAAUUGUCUUCUUCUAGAAUAAAAGGAAAAUGAGGCAGAAAAUCUUCAGGUCAGUCUUAUCCCAUGACAGCAUCACCUUUGUACGCUUGCUGUUGAGACAUGUCCAUAACUUGAUAUAUUCUAGAAAAAAAAGGUUACCAACAUGCCAAUCUCCAUUUUUUAUCUACAUAUAAUGAAAAGUUUUUUCAUGGAACUAGAGACAGUAAACUGAAGAAGCCCUUGUGAUUCAUAAAAGCCCUGCAAGUCCUUUGUGAUUCAUAAAAGCCCUGCAGGUCCUUUUGGUAGCUCAACUGAAGAAGAUGAUUCGCAAAAGGGCAACAGUAAACUAUUUUAGAACAGAUAGAUGCUCGAUGUCGUUGCAGCACAAGCCCAUACAAGAUGCCAGUAAAAUUCACUAGUCCAGUCCAGCUGCAGCACUCAGUCAGAAACCAGAUGGCCUGAUUCCUAGUUAUGAUGUGAACUAUAUUUUACAGCUCCAUCAGUUGUGGUUUAUAAUAGUAGGAAUCUAUUGGUGUCAGGGAAGAAACUUUCCAAGUGCGUAGCGUCAGACGCACAUCUGAUCCGGUUGCUGCUGCCCUGCUUAGUGGCGUACUGCUGUACUGUUCGUUGUAAGGUCAUGCUCUCACUGUCGGUUCAGGCUAUAAAUAUUGCCCUAGAUGUCGUCGAGACGCCAUAUUGUGUGGUGUCAAUGCUAAAAAAUACCCGAGCACCAUGCCAUGCGUCCCCUGUGCCCUCCAUUGGCAUGGCAGGUAAGCCACCUACCGAUCAGAAGGGCUAAUUGCAGCCAUGCUGCCAUCUCUAACUCAGCUGAUAAACCAAAUCUCCAAGAAAAGAAAAAUUCCAUGAGUGUUCUUGUGUCCUGCACCAGCAGGAAGCUUCACAGGAUCUGACGACGGGCAUCACCCACCGGCCACCAGCACCACCACACCAAGAUCCUACAGAUCACUGGAGUAUAUCUGCAAGCAGAGACAAUAGAUGCUUCUUGCUGGGGAGUACAGCUACCAGGAUAUCUCUUUCUAGAUAAUGAACUGCCAGAAGAUGCUGGCGUUAGAUAUCUUAUUGUCCCCAGCAUAUGCCUGCCCAGCCGCUCCUCCUCCAUGAACUGGAUAAUAAACUGUUCAGAGCUCAGCGAGGAGGGAUCAGCCAGCCUCCCAUCGAGAUCGAUCUCACUCGCUCGCGCACCCGGCAACCGCGCCGCCAUUAGUUUAUGCGCCACCUAUCCACGAGACGACGGGAUAAGAUAUGAUAGUGUAUUGCCCAAUCAUGGCCGCCUCGAUCGCCAUUGGCGCGGCCGGGAGAAUCUGAUUGCGUUUUUUUAUAGUGCGCGCCACUUGGUGGUGGCACUGAGCUCAUGCUCAUGCCCCCUAAUGGGAGAAGUGGUUACUCUAAUCUUAAUCUAAUCCGGGGAUAUGGGCUAAACAUAUAUGUAUCGCGAGGAGGAUAAAGAAUGUGGCGGGCACAUUGUCUGUGGCAUGUUUGAUCGCAGGUACAGCGGAUUUGGAGGCAACAGGAAUCUACCAGUAAUUUAAGCUGGGUUCGGUUUGGAUCUUGGAACCAUGAAUAAGGGUAGUAAUAUAGACAGAGAAGAGGGGCACACAUGUCUUUUCACGGCCAUUGUAAAACUCAUACAGAGCUAGAAUGAGAUAUAUGCGACUAGGUAGUAUUUUAUUUUCUAUAAAAAAAACAUGUCUUUUGUCACUGCUAAACAAUAUUUUUCUAAUUAAAUUGCGUUUAGGCUUCAACGGCAUGAACUAAAUAGAAUUGUGAAUGAGUGGCAUGAUCCUAAAUAUUACUCCCCCGCACUAAAUAUAGGUUGUUUUACCUUUUCUACACACAUAGUGUUUACUACAUAGCAAAAGUUAUGAUCCUAGUACAGUCAAAACGACCUACAAUUUAAAAUGGAUGUAAUAUAUUUGUUUAACUUGGACAAUCAAUAGUUAAAAAUAUGAUUGGUUUGGCAAUCUUGACGCUAUUAGAUUUUAUCAUGAAAAGUAAUCUCGCAAUAGAUAUAUUUUUAUAUUUAAAAACAAAUACAUUCUUUUAGAAAUUGGUAAUCAAUGGUGUACCGUGUUGAUAUCGUAUAUAUAGGCUACUUAUAUAUUGAUGAAGAAAAAGUGGCAAAUGUAGAAACGAUUAGUGAACAUGUUCAAAAAUCUUUGGCGUGUCGAGCGAUGCACAGAAGCGAGAGAUCCAAGAUGUUUUUGCGUUGCGUGCUGGACAUGCGCGAGUGCGCCCAACUGGCCCAGGACUGGGUGGGCGGGUGGGCUGUGACCUCUGAACUAGGGGCCAUUACUCGGAGGGCCAAAUUGCCAAUCUACCAGUUCGGCGUUCGUUUUUUCUCUUGAACAAAAAAUCGCACAUUUCCUAGCACUCUGUACUCCUGUCAUAUUUCGUCCUCGGCAAACGUCCAUGGUAAAUCUAUCUUCUGACAGCGGAAGUUCUUUCUAUUAUCGACCGACCAGUUUAUGGCUGAUAGUGGAACUACGGCAAAGAUCGAUUGCAACAGAUAGGGUGAAUUCAUUCGUUCCAGUGUCCUCGCAAAGAUUUUCCUAGCACAACUAAUCUUCUAGAAUUCAAGGUUAAGAACCAAAUGAUCCAAGACCGAGCGGCAUUCCGAUAAUUGGCUGCUAAAUAGUGGAUACCAACUAGGAAUGCAAUUUCCAUUUGUUUUGGAUCAUGAGAUCAACUCAAUCAAAUUAGGUCCUGUUUGGAUACACAAUGCUAAACUUUAGCACAGUGCUAAACUUUAGCACCCACCCUCAAAUGAAGUGCUAAAGUUUAGCACUUGAGGUUAUUUGGAUACAGUGCUAAAGUUUAGUACAUUAGGUGAGAAAUGACUACAUUACCCUCAUUUAUGAUUGGCUUGGGGAAAAGUGGAGAGGAGAGAGAGGGCAGCAGGGGAAAAAAUGAGCUUGGGACCAAUUUUAGCACCCAUUAGCACCUUUUAGCACCCCUUGUUUGGGAGCCCAAGUGCUAAAAGUGGGGUGGUGCUAAAAGUGGGGUGCUAAAGUUUAGCACCCCUCCAAACAGGGCUUUAACUAAACAUUCCACAAUUUGUUUUGGGAGAGAAAUAUACUAAAGUAGCUAACCCAAUAAACGCCAUUGACUGGCUAACAUCCCUAGUACCAACUAUUUAGCGUCCCGGAUUUACGUAAAGACUGAUUCCAACCUAAAACUUUUAUUGGUCUACCAUGUUCUCUAUGAACUAGUACUACUAAUAACGAUCAACCCAAGUAACUGGCAGCGGCAAGAAGCCUCGAGCCACCACCAGGCAGUUCACGGUUAUGCACCCAGGACCAAGAACUGUUCCAGUUCUACCCUAAACCGAAAUUAAGGGCAGACGAGCACUAGACAAGGACCAUCAGUUCCAGACUAGUUCACAAUAAUAGUUUCAUCGAAUUAGGACUCCUUAUACAAACUACGUUCGACACUACACGAAGUUUUGUAAUAGAAAUGGCUCAAAUCUGAAGACUCCACUUAACAACACGACAUAGUGCAAGUUCAACA